UGUGGCAGGUAUGCUUCUAAAAUCAUUCGAUUUCAGAUUUAGUUCUUUCAGUGAUGAUAAACGACAAAUGUCACUGGGAAUUCCUCCUUCCAUUAUAUUGCAGUAACUUAGGUCCAAUACUUCCAAUGAUGAUAGGCAACAAACAUCAGUAGGGAUUUUGUUGAGUUUUGAACACCCUCUGAAACUGAGAAUUUUGAGAGCUUUUAGAUGUCCAAACGAUGAUGAUGAUGGUAGCUCUUCUAUAGCCGUACCACUUAAAUCGAGCUCUCUUAGCUUUCUCAUAUUGCCCUUGAUUUCUGGAAAUCUCUUUAGCUUUGAACAGUCUCCGCAAGACAAAGUUUGAAGGUGUUUCCAUUUAUAAAUGCCUCUUGGAAGACACUCCAGCUUUACACAGCCUGUCCAAUUCAAGGGAGGAAAAAAACAAAUUAGUUUUAAUAACUCUUAUACUGAUGCAUGAACCUUUUUAAGUACCAUUGAAUAACCUUUUAGAGUUAGAAUCUCCAAGUUUGGCACACUUGAGAAGUCCGGGAUUUCAGUGAGAUGCACUGAAUGACUGAGAUUGAUAACGUUCAACUUGUUAUGAAGCUGGAAAAAAAAAAAAAAACCUAUUGAUAAUUUUACAUAAACAUUAAAAAUUAAUAUAAAAAAAAGUGUAACUAAAUGAUAAUAACAAUACCUUGUUCCCUCUCCAAAGUUGCUUUAUAUUGCUGCCCCUUAAUAUGAGUUCAACAAGGUCCUUUGCAUGAAAAUUUGUUGGCAAAGAUUCUAAAGAGUAUCCAUCCCAAUGGAAAUAAGUUAACUCAUAAGAAGGAAACUCAAAGUCCCUUGGAAGGUGGUCUUCAGAAAAUAGCUUUCCAUCAAGAUGCCUACUAAAUCUUGAUAUGCAACCAUAUUCAUCAUCUUUAUGGAUUUUGAGCAAUCUAAGUCUAUCCAUCUGUUUGAAAGAUUCUUUAGUAAACUGUGUUGGAAAUUUACAAAUAUCUAGGAAUAGUCCUUUGAUCGAUCGUGUCCCCUGAAAAAUAUAAAUCAAGAAUAAGCGAAACACAAGAUGCAUAAAACUUAACUAAAUUAUAUAGAUGGUUAAUUUCUAAAACAAUAACAAUAAUAUUGAAGUUUGCAUAUGCACAAUAACCUAAGUUCUUGCAUUUGGCACUUACCAUGUUUCUUGUCAGCACAUCAUACGCAUCAGAAUCCCAUAUUCUACUCCUUCUUCCAAGAUCAUCAAGACAUUCUUGACGAAUAAUUUCUUUGCCCAUUUGUUGUAUUAAAUCAUGCAUAUCCAUCAUGUUUUUUGAAAUGGUAAUGAGACAUUUGUCAUUUAGAGUUGCUAUCCCAUACUCAGCAUGAGGGCCUAAUAUUCUUGAAACAAAAUCUUUGCUCUUCCCCUUGAAAAAACAAGCAACAUCCAAAAAUAUCUCCUUAUCCAUAUCAUCAAGUCCAUCAAAACUUAUUCUAAGUACCUUGUUAAUUUCCAUGUGGGGUAUCCUUUUUAGCUUAUAUAAUGCACUUUCCCAUUCGCUUAUUUUCUUUCCAAAAAGAGAGGCACCUAAAAGUUUAAGUGCUAAUGGAAGUCCAUCAGCAUACUCUAUCAUAUUGUAUGAGAGGUUUUCAUAAGCUUCCUUGGGAAGAUUUUCUUGGAAGGCCCACAAACUAAAGAGCUCAAUUGCUUCUUUCUUAUCAAAUUUCUGAACCUCAUAUGGUGUAUCCACUCCAUAUCGAGUAAGCACUUGUUUGUCUCUAGAUGUGAUGAUGAUUGUACUUUUUGCAUUAAACCAAUCCUUCUUUUGAGCCAAAUGUUUUAAUUGCUUCAGAUCAUCUACAUCAUCCAAAAUAACAAGGACUCUUUUAGAGUUGAGGCACCUCUUUAUCAUAGUAACUCCUUCAUCGAUAUUGCUUAUUUUAAAACCCUUUUCUUUUAGGAUGUCAUGAAGAAGUUCAUUUUGUAAUUGAAGUGUAUCACCUUGGGAUUUCUCUCUAAUAUUUCUAAGAAAGCUACUGCUAUCAUAUUGAUAUGAGAUCUUAUUAUAAAUAGCCUCGGCGAUAGUAGUCUUACCAAUUCCACCAGGUCCACAUAUCCCAAUCACGCUAACCUUAUUCAACUCAGUAUUCAUCAUCAAUUUCAAUUUUUCUAAAUGAACACUAAUUCCAACUAUAUUCUCGCUCACAUUUAAAGGUUGACGUUUUAAACUUCCAACAAUUGUAUUAAUAAUUUCAUUGACAACUUCAGUCUCAAACCUGCCAAUUAUAAAGCAUAAUGAUGAGUUAGAAUGAGUUUGCAAAAUAUAAUAAAUGUAGAAUAAAUCGAGUCAUAUAUGGUGUUGUCCAAUACUUAAGCUUCCAAUUUUGCAUGUAUCAAACCACUAAUUAAUGUAAUCUGCUGACACUGAUUGGGGCAUUGUUUAGGAAAUUAGGACUCUUCUCGUGACUUUUUUCACCUUUUAUUUCACAAGUUGCUUAUCAACUUAUCAAUAUUGUUGAAAAGGAAUAUAAAUAUUCCUAGUUUGCUGAUUAAUUUUGCAUUUCCAUAGAGGAAUGAGUACUGAAAACUUUAAUGCUGGAUUGUAAGACUGAAGAGACUUUUAAGAAAAUGAUAUUUACUUUACAAAUUUGAUUUACAAUGAUAUUAUUUAAUUAUUCGAUGGCAUCUCACCUCAUGAUAUUAUAUAUAUCAUUUAAAUUUAAAGAAAAAUAUGAAUUGAGACCAUAAUAUAGUUUAAAUAAAAAGACUUAUUUUGUAGAUUAUUCAAAGUAUUCUCUAAAAAAUCAAACUUUAAAUUAAGAUAGAUAUUACAACUCAAGAUUCCAAAUCCAUAAAAUACUCUUCUACCAAAAUUGAUUAAUUUUAAGAUUUCAAGAAUGACUAAAACCAUUUUGCUCAAAUUACAAAAUCAUUCUUUUUCUUUAAAUUAAAAUUUUCUUUCUAUAAAUCAAAUUUAGAUUACAAAUUCACAUCUAAGUGUUCAUUUUCAAACCUAAAAUUUUUAAAAUAUUUUCUUUUAAAAGUUGAUUAUUUUUAAAAACUUUAAAUAAGAAAAGAUUAAUUUUCAACUUCAACAUUGUAAUCUUGUAUUAAAGAAUAAAACUAAAGAUGUCUAUUUUUUCUCAUAAAUUCCCAUUAAUAGGCAUAUUUCCUAGAUAUACCGGAAUAGGUGAGAAAUUGUACCAAAAAAAGCCUUGAAUAUUUAAAACAUGCUUCAAAUUCAUCCAAUGAGAAGCCACUUUAACACCAAUAGCCAAAAGCCAAAAGAUAUUUAAAAUGGUGUUUUUGGCUGUUGAAUUUCAAAGAGAUGAACCCAAGGAAUCAGCAAAAUUUAGAAAGAGAAAAUAAAGCUAAAACCAUAGAAAUGUAUUGCUAAUAACUUUAGGCCCAGAUUUAGAACGAGAAAAAUAAUUAUAUAUUUUUUAUUUUUUUACACGAAAAAUUAAAGAAGGAAAAAAUCAUAUACAGUAGGAUAGGAUUUCUGAUUAGAGGAGAAGAGAAGCAUACUUACUGGUCAUCCACGUGCCAUCCAGAUAGACUUGCUGCUUCGGUUAAGGCAGUCCUCCACUUUUGUAUCAUCUCCUUCUUUUUCUCAUCAGCAUCUCUUUCAUGGUGGGCAAGCGCAUCUCCAAAAAUUCCCGACUGUUUCCGGAUAUCUGAUGGAUCUACAUGAUAGAAAAUUGGUAGAACCAUUGAUCCCUCUUGCCUCGCGCAUUCAGUGAUUUUUACAAGUUCAUUUAAACACCAUCUAGAGUAAGCAUAAUUUUUGGAGAAAAUAAUCAUAAAAAUCCUUGAUUCUUUUAUGGCUCUUGAGAGAUCAGAUGCAAUAAUUCCUCCUUUCUCUAGUUCUUCAUCAUCUCUGAAAGUUUGAAUUCCAUAUCUAACCAAAGUGGUAUAUAGAUAAUCCGUGAAAUUUUUGCGGGUGUCUACACCUCGAAAACUCAAAAACACAUCAUAAUUAGGAGAAAUAGAAGUAGAAGAAGAGGCUCCAUGGGUGCUGGAAGAAGCCAUUUUUGGGUUGCUUGUACCAAAAUUCCAAGGGAGUUUGGAAUCGAAGAAAAUAAGAGAGAGGAUCCUUAGAUGCUCAACCACUGUUGGCUCCAGGCUUCUUCACCAUGAACAGAACUCCAAGCUGGGAGGGGUGCAGCAGAAAACCUUCAUCUGCAGACCAAAAAAAAAAAAAACAUAUAUAAAGCCUCUUUGGCAAAUUUUCUUUGUUAUCCUGUGUACAAAAUUUGGUGGCCUAAGGCGGCAUGUUAUAAGAGGACUUCACACACAUAUUUUACCUUUUGGAAGAUAAACAUCAAGGAUCCAGCCAAACAGUUGUGGUCAGGUGCUGAUAGGUGUAGAGAAGAGAGUGGCGAAAGAUGGUAUGGAGGAUUGGCAGGGGGUUGAAGAAGAGGCAGUGGAAUUGUGAGGUAAGGAAUUCUAAUAUCUAGGGUUUAGCAUGAGUCUUCUUCAUUCUCAAUUAUACCCCAAGAUGGUGCUUAAAAAUCAACAAAGUUGAAGUCCUUGUUGUCAUUUUGCAUUUCAAUAAAGUUGAAAUCAAUUAUUGCUUUAGCAUUCUUAUUAAUUCAGUCUUGGUGGGAUCCCAUCUUACUUGUUUUCAAUACAACAAAAACAAGAAGAACGAAAACCAAUGCUAAAAAUAUAUUAAAUUAAUUGAUGAGGUAAGACAUGGCCUCAAAGAGGUUUGUUUUUUUAAUCAUUGUGGUUCUUUAUGGCUGUCACAUGUUUCCUUUUAUUUUCUCUCUCUCUCUCUCUCUCUCUUCGAUCGAUGCAAUAUUUUUUCUUUUAUAUCCUCAAUCUCCCUCAAGCUCAGUGGAAGGCAAUAGUUGGCACGCUUCGCUCUUCUACUUCCAAAAUCACUUUUCCUCCUAGCAUUUUACACUGAAGUUCAAUCAUCAAGAACUAGAACAAAAUUUAUGUUUGAUAAUAAAGAUGGUUGGAAAUUAUACUAUUGUUAGGACAUUAACUUUUAUUGUUGUAUCCAUCUUAGCUUAAAAUUUAAUUAUAAAAUUUUAAUUAUAUUUAAUUUUCUCUUAUAUUUUUUACAAUGAAACCAAACAUUAAGACCUUUUUUUUUUUAAUAUUUUUUUUAUUUUCAUAUAAUCAAAUAUAACCUAAAACUUUUCAAGUUCACAUGAUAAGUUAUUAAACUAUUAUUAAUAAAUAUUUGUAUAAUGACUUAUUAUAGAAACACUUUUAGGUAGGUAAUAGUUUCAUAGACAACGAUUAGUUAUACUUCUUAAAACUUAGUAGCUAAUUUUGUCUCAAAGUUCUGUACGACUAUUUACUUAAUUCUCUGUGGUCUUUUAAGCCUGUAAGAUGACACCACUUACGAAUAAAUCCAGAAAACAGAGUAGUGGUUUGUUUUAGAAUUUUCCUAGUUAGCUUGCUACUUGUCCUACUCACAUUGUUAUAUACUUUUGAUAAGAAUGUGCCUAGAGUUCGAUGUUCCAUGAAACCUGAGGAACUCCCGAGGAAAUCUUGUUAGCUUCUGUAUUGGUUUAUCUGUUUGGAAUUUGUGAUUUAUACCAGAAUCGAGACAUCUUCAGAAUAUGUUUGCUCCUAUGAAUAAAUUCAAGCAAUGCAUGGUUGACUCAUUAGCACUCUUUUGUUGCUGCAGAUUACAUGCUCCACUCUAGGCCAGUUGCUUGAUUCUGUUCUUGAACAGGAGGGUUUCCAGAUUGGUUCAGUAUGUGGAAAGAAAAAAAGGAAAGCAAUAAAGCUUCAUAAAUCUGACCUACACAAUGAUGUUAUUCGCAAAGAUGAAAAUGCAAUAUUUUCUUAGCUCUAUCCUUGAUAUUUUGCUACGAAAGAAAGACAGAGAAAACAACUCCUCCCAUGACCAUGCCAAGCAGCUCAUAGGUGAGUUCUAAAUCGAUACUUGUUCUCUUGUUAUUAUUUGUUUUUUCUUUUUAAUUUUCCGAUGUAGCAAUUGACAAAGGCCACAUGCAGCAGCAACUGCUUCCUCUGCCCCCAGGAGACCCUAUUUUACAACAACAAUCACACCAACCAACUACGACCCUGGUUACCCUUAUCUGGUCAGCUUUUGCCUUCUCUUUUCCAUCUCAGGGUUUAUUUUUCUGUUUAAAUCAUAUCAAAGAUGAUAUAUAUUCACUGAGACAUGGCCUAAUUAAUAUUUGAGUUGGGUGUGGCAGAAUAUCCCCAGAGAAUUUUGGAGAUCAAACGAUAUCAUAACUAAGGCAGCAUAAGCUCUCAGAGAUCCACUGAAUAGGUGGUGGCCAGUGAAACUUAGAUUACCAAGCGGGGGCAUCCGUUAAGCUGGGGAUGUGGUUGGCACGAGUACUAUGAAUCCAAUAAGCUCAAGGUAGGAGAUCCUCUACGUCUUUGAGCUCAAUCCCACCUCACCAGAAACUCCAAAUCCUGUUCUGGAUGUUUGGACCCUUCCUCCACAGAAGUAGAUACUGCUUAUAUUUUAGAUGGUUGAUUCUUCGUGAUUUUUGUUUUUGGUUAUGAAUGUUUUUCAAUUUGGAAAAAAUGUGGUGUUUGCUCGAGCAGAUUCUCUGAUCUAAUUUUAGUUUUUUGCAUUUAAUUAUUUAAUAUAUAAUUAUUGCAAUAUUUAUUUAAAUAUUUAAUUAUAUAUAUAUUAAACAAUAUAUUAAUUGGAAGAGAAAACCAAAUAAUAAUAAUAAUAGUAUACUUUUAAUAAUAUAUUAAACAAAUCAGAGGUGGGUGCACAAUUAACAUGGCUACUAUUGCAUCCAUUAUUAUGCUGUAGACCCCACAUCACACCUAUAGCAGUGGGCAAGGUCAGCUUGCAGUCACAUGGAGGCUUAUAAUUGUGGCCAGCAGUAUGUCGUCACAACUUGAUCCUUAUGGUUGCAGCAAUGAGCUGCCGCAACCAUACAAGUUUUAGUUGUAGAAAAAUGUGGUUGCAAGCAUAUAUUUAAGGUCGAGUCACACAACCACACUCGGCCUCAGCUACAUAAUUUCUUUGCGUCAGCUAUGGCCACGCCCUGUUGCGGCCUAUGUUGCACGCCCUGUAGCAUAUGGUUACAAUUUAAUUUGCUUUAAGUUGCGGGCCUUGGCUGUAGCUAAAGGUUUAAUUUCUUGUAGUGUUAUGUUAUCUUUAAAUGCUCAAGUCAAAAGAGUGAGGUAGAAAAGUAAUAUUUCACACUUUACAACGUAUUAACCAACAUUUUUUAAAAGUGAAAAGCCAGUUAGAUCUCUCAUUAUUUUAAUGUUAAUUGCAAUCCAAAAUUUCCUUUGGAUCUUUUUCUUCCUCUGAAAUUAAAUGGUUAGUAUGAAACUCCUUAAAAUAUUAUAUUGUUUAGAGUAUUCCACUGAAUAAUAUUCCUAGUUUAUAUUUUUUAUUUUUUUUGUUUUGUUUUUUUGUUUGUUUGUUUGGUUUUUUAUUAUUAUUAUUAUUAUAGAUUUUGUUUAAUUAUUGUUUUGGAAUUUUGAUUUUGGUGGUUUGAAGAUUGAUAGGUAUCAUAACCCACUUAUUAUAUUCUUUUAUAGAACUAUUACAAAUUAAUACUUUUAAUUUGAAUUGAGUUUUAUAUCUAUAUGGAAUUGCACAACUGGUCCUAAAGAUUGAUAGGCAUUGUGCUUUGUAAGGAUUGAAAAAUCAUUAUUGUGAACAAAUGAAAAUUGAAAUUGCAUAGCAUUGUGCUUAGCAAUGGCCAUACAUAGAGUUACCUUUGUAUUAUUAUUUGGUUCUUAAAUCUGAUAACUAAGUCUAAAAUGUGUUAGAUGUGCUAAAUUUGUGAUUUAUCACUAUGAGAAGUAUCAUAUAUACACUCUUUAGACAUAUAAAACUAGUUUAAACAUAUAAAUGCUUCUUAUAUCAGAUACUUAGAAUUUGGCUUUUACAUUAUAUAUGAAAUUUAUAUGCAUAUAAACUUGAAGAAUGAGAAAAUAUAAUAUAAAGAGGAAAACAAAUCACUUGAUCCCCAAGGCCAACAAAGCUGCACAAAUAUCCUCAGCUUCAUAACCCUCCUCUAUAAAGAUAAUGCUAGGGCUAUCUUGUGGGAUCAUGUCUUCCCUUUUGAAAUUGUCUUCACUGCAAAGAAUCUUCUUCCUACCAUUCUUCACCAAACCUCUUAGAAUUAUGGCUUUGUGGAGUCCAACAAGUAGGUCUUCAUAAUUUGUAUCCCAUAUUUUCUAAGCAAACACCACCAUUUUAGAGAGUGUCAAUUCUCCAUCUAACUAAGAGAUUUUUGCAAAAAAAAAAACAGAUUCAAAAGAGUUAGUAGUGUUUUUUUGUGUGCCAUAUGUAUAGGAAAGAGUUCUUACCUAAGUCUUUGGCCCUUGAUGCAAAUAAGUUUACCACAUUCAACCUUGAUAGAAUUUGCAUAUGGACAAGACUAUAAUAAAAACCUCUCAUUCACAUUCUUUUGGUGUAGGCCAUCAAUUCUUGAGUUUGUCAUUCAUUUGUUUAAAUUCUUAUUGUAAAUAUAGUACUAGAGCAUCAACUAGUUCAUAUUUGAGGUACUAGCCUCUACAAGUUUUUCACAAGGAGUGAUUAGUAAUAAUCUUACCUUAGCUCGUGGUUUCACUUUAUAAGAGUAGCACCUGCAACUAUACACAUUGCAUACUUUGAAAGAGUUUCAGGUUCAAUUUGUAAAAGAAUUAGUUCCUACAUCUGAUAUUGUUUAACUAUCUAUACAAGAGCUUGUAACAAAACUUCAACUAAGCAACCACUUAUGAGUACAUGUAACAGUGUAACAAAUGGUAGGUUUGAGAGGUUAUUUUGGUGUUGUUCUAGUGUAGAUGAGUUAAGGGUUUGUUAACUGUUAUCAUCCCCCCAUAAGCUUGUUGGAAUUUAAAGGUAUGGAAAUAAAAUACUAACCCAAAAGACACAAACAAAGAACAUAAUGAAUAAAAAGAAAAACUUAUCGGUUGAGGCGUGACAAACACUGUCCUUGAAAUAGAUUCACCCUCCUCGAAGACAAACUUGGUGCACUUGGGUACCAGUGGUCUACCUCCAGAAUUCAACAACCAGAUCUCGCAUUGGGUGCACUCUGAAAGCGAGAUGUGUACAACUAGGGUGUUUGACUAAAUUCCUCCAAAUAGAUAUAUGAAAAUACUCCCUAAAAAACUCUCUGAAAAAAUUCUCUGAAAAUUCGGUAUUCAAGUAUAGAGAGGGGUGACCUGCUUUUAUAGGCCACUAACACAGUCCCAAAAGGAAUCUACUUGUAAUUAGGAAAUGACACAAAGUGGAAGGAGAAUCUACUUAUAAAAAGGAAUGAGAUUCCACUAGCACAAUCCCAAUAGGACUCUUCCCAAAAAUAUAACACUAAUAGAAUAAAAUAAAAAAUAAUUUUCAAUAGGACACUUCCAAAAAAUAUAAGAUUAAUAGAAUAAAAUAAAAGUAAUUUCCAAAAAUAAAAAUAGAAAUUAUUUACACUCUUUCUACAAUCCCCCAUAGAGUGUAAACGUAAUUUUAUUUUUAUUUUUUUGAGGAAAAAAGAAUCCAAUGCAUCAGUACUGGUGCCCAAAGGCUAUGAACCAGUCUUAGGACAAAUAAGUAUUGAAUCACAAAACAUGGUGAAAAUAAAUUUUUAUGAACCAGUGUUUCUUAUGUAACUCAAGGGACUUUUAUCCACAUUGGUUUUCUCAACUACACUACAAGCUAUACAAAACGGGUUGGCACAAAUAGGUCAUGCGCUCUGCCUGGAUUUUCAUGAGAGCUCUAGAGAACCUACCUAAGUUCUCAAAGGAAGCAGCCCCACCUCCACUCUCAUAUAGGUGAAUCCAUCAAGUAUGUUCUGCAUUUAAACAUAUCAUCCAUAAGGAAUGUGGUAUUCAUUAAGAGUAAACACUCAACCUUAGUCAAUGCAGAAUACGCUCUAUCUACACCAUAGGGAUGGACUCUCAUACAAUUAGAAUUGAUAGAGCACCUCAAGUCAACAAAUGAUUUGUUAUUACCCAUAUGAACCUACUUCAUGGAAUUCCCAUUCUAAUAGGUUGGGUUACCACCACUCUUGACUUCUGUAAUAGGCAUAAGUCCCAAACCCCUCGAUAUUUUUUCCACUAGUUUCUUAUUUAAUGGUUUGGUCAAAGGAUUGGCCAAAUUCAACUUUGACCUCACAAAUUCUAGGGAUAUAACCCCCUGUUUCAAACAACUGCCGCACAAUAUUGUGUCUUAGGCAUAUAUGCCUAUUCUUCCCAUUAAAUAUUUUACUCAUAGCCUUAGUAAUUGUAGCUUGGCUAUCACAACGCAUAGACACAGACGAGGUUGGUCUCAUCCAUAAAGGGAUAUCUGCUAAGAGGUUUCUAAGCCACACAGCCUCAAAACUUGUCUUUUCUAAGGCAAUAAACUCAGCCUCCAUAGUAGACCAAGUAAUGCGAGUUUGCUUGGCAAACUUCCAAGAAAAUGCACUUUCCCCAAGAAUGAAAACAUAUCCACUAGUGGAUUCCAUCUCAUAUGAAUCUGAGAUCCAAUUUGCAUCACUAAAUCCUUCAAGGACACUUGGAAAUCUAAUAAAGUACAAACCAUAGUUAAUGGUGCCUCUCAAAUACUUAAGGACUCUACAAACAGUAAUCCAAUGGUCCUGAUUAGGACUUUGGGUGUACCAACACAAUCUACCUAUUGCAUAAGCAAUGUCAAGUCUGGUACAAUUCAUUAAGUACAUUAGGCUCCCUAUGAUCUAAGCAUACUCUAUUUGGGCAACACUAUGUUCUCUAUUUUUCUUCAACUAUGAACUGAGAUCAUAAGGAGUUGACACUGGUUUACAAUCAAAGUGUUCAAACUUCCUUAGGAUCUUUUCAACAUAGUGCUCUUGAGAAAGUUUAAGUCCAUUAGGUGUUCUAGUUAUUUUAAUUCCUAGAAUCACCUCUGCCUCUCCUAGGUUUUUCAUAUCAAACUUAGAACCUAGGAAUUUCUUGGUCUCACACACAACCUCUAAGUUAGUUUCUAAGAUCAGCAUGUCAUCAACAUAAAGGCAAAUGACUACACAUGUGUUAUUCUCAUAUUUGUUGUAGAUACACUUAUCAACAUCAUUAAUGAAAUAUCCAUUAGUUACUAACACAUGAUCAAACUUGUUGUGCCAUUGUUUGGGAGCUUGUUUUAACCCAUAUAGUGAUUUAACCAACUUACACACCUUUUUUUUUUUUUUUGUAAGGUAUUCUAUUUUGAAUAUGACAUGCAGAUAGGAUAACUUCCCCCCACAAGUUCAAGGGUGCUCCUGAACUUACCAACAUUGCAAAAAAGGUUUUAAGUCAAUCAAAAUGUGUCCCAAGUUCACUAUAUCAAUGAAUGUCCCAUUGAAGGGAUUAAUUUUAGAGGUGUCAGGACGGGUGUGAACUAGGGAAGCUUCCAUUUGGAUAUAUUUCAAGAUUGUUGGAAUUUAAGGGUAUGGAAACAAAAGACUAACCCAAAAGACACAAACAAAUAACAUCAUGAAUAAAAAGAAAAACUUAUCGGUUGAGGUAUGACAAGCACUGUCCUUGAAAUAGAUUCACCCUCCUCAAAGACGAACUUAGUACACUAGGGUAUCAGUGGUCUACCUCCAGGAUUCAACAGACAGAUCUCGCAUUUGGUGCACUCUGAAAAUGAGAUGUGUACAGCUCCGGUUUUUGAAUAAAUUCCUCCAAAUAGAUGUAUGAAAAUACUCCCUGAAAAAUUCUCUAAAAAAAUUCUUUGAAAAUUUGGUAUUCAAGUAUAGAGAGGGGUGACAUGCUUUUAUAGGCCACUGACACAGUCCAAAAAGGAAUCUACUUAUAAUUAGGAGAUGACACAAAGUGGAAGGGGAGUCUACUUAUAAAAGGAAUGAGACUCCACUAGCACAAUCCCAAUAGGAUUCUUCCCAAAAAUAUAACACUAAUAGAAUAAAAUAAAAUAUAACAAAAUAAAAAAUAAUUAUCAAUAGGACACUUCCUAAAAAUAUAAGAUUAAUAGAAUAAAAUAAAAUAAAUUAAAAGUAAUUUCCAAAAAUAAAAAUAUAAAUUAUUUACACUCUUCCUACAAAGCCCACAAGGUGUGGAACAACAGAUAGCUUGCUGCAAAGUGAGAUGAACUGAGAGCUUGAUAGAUAUUUGGUGAAGAUACCGACCACCUAUUCAUUGGAGGGAAUAUACUGAAUAUUGAAUUCAUGAUGAAGCACCUUGUCUCAGAUAAAAUGGAGGUCUAUUUCUUUAUGUUUGAAGCGGGCAUGGAAAACUAGAUUAGCAGCCAAGGCAACAACACUUUUGUUGUCACACCAUCUCAAUGGAGUUACAACUUAUGGGAUGCAUAAUUCCUUUAAUAAUGCUUGUACCCAUACAAUUUUAGCUAUGAGAGAUGUAAGUGCCCUAUACUCUAAUUCAUCAUUACUUUAACAUACUUUUUUUUUGUUUUAAUGAGGACCAAGAGACAAGAUUGAGGCCACGAAAGAGACAGUAUCCCCCUAUGUUGCACCGAUCAUCAGGACAUGAUGCCCAAUCUGCAUUUCUAUAGCCAUGGAGAUCAAAUGUUGAAGAUGCAUAUAGUGAUAUGCCAUGAGAGAGGGUACCUUUGAGGUGCCUAAGGAUCCGUUUGAUGACAAGCCAGUGUGUUGUGGUUGGUUGUGCCAUAAAUUGGCAUGCCUUAUUCACUAAAAAUGAGAGAUCUGAAUGGGUGAUCAUGAGGUAUUGAAACGCUCUCACUGUGCUGCAAUAUAGGGAGGUAUCUAGUACUGGAUCACCAUUAGUAAGAGAAACUUAUUUGCCAAGAGCUCUAGGUGUGAGUGUUGGUUUGGUGUCUGCCAUUUUUGUUCUUUGAAGAAGGUCUUGAACAUACUUAUGUUGACCGAGAUGUAGUGAAUUAGAUUUAUGAAUGACCUCAAUUCCUAGAAAAUAAUUGAGGUUACCAAGGUCUCGAAGAGCAAAAUUGAUGUUGAGAUGCUUGAUAAAUUGAAAUACUUGAGUAGUGCCACUAGUGAUCAAAAUGUCAUCAACAUAGAUAAGUGGAAUAAUAAGAUCAAUAGUUGAAUGAUGAAAAAAUAAUGAAGUAUCAGCUUAAGAGCAUUGAAAUCCAUAUGAGACUACAUGGUUGUUGAGUUUAGUGAACCAAGCUCUAGGAGCUUGUUUGAGCCCGUAAAGUGCCUUGUAGAGAUGACAAACAUGAGAUGAGAAUUACGAAUUUACAAAGCCAGGUGGUUGAUGUGUACAUACUUGCUCUUAAAGAUCCUCAUUAAGAAAUUGAGGCAUUUUGAAUGUCUAGUUAAUGUAUUGACCAGUGUGAAUACAGAGCAAUAUUAAUGACAAUUCAAAUGGUUGAAGGCUUAACAAUUGGGCUAAAAGUUUCAAAAUAAUCAAUGCCCUGAGUUUAGAUAAAACCUUUGGCAACUGACCUAGAUUUAUAACAAUCAAUGUUGCCAUCUGGUUGAUAUUUGAGUUUAAAAAUCCAUAUGCAACAAAUAAUGUUUGUUUGAGGAGUGGUGGAAUAAGGGUCCAUGUUUGAUUUUUCGCUUGGCACUAGUUCUAAUCUGUCAUAACUUGUUUGAAUGUGCGUGGCUCAAUAGGUGAGGAACAACAUAGGCCUUCUUGAUGAUGCUAGCCUUAGACCAUGUUAUCAUGGGAUGGUAGUUGGUUUUAGAAGGGUUGGAAGAAUUUUUGGAUGUAUUAUGGAAUGGUAUUGGAAUGAUAGGUGGAAUAGUAGCAUGGGAGACAGAUAGAGAUGGUACAGUUAUAGAAAAAGAAUUAGGAAAAGAAAUAGUUGGUGUUAAUACUGAUGAAGUAGUUAUGGUUUGAUAAGGAAUGAAGCUAGGGACUAUUGGAGUGAUGACUGGCCAUCCAAGACUUUGGAAUAGAAAUAUUGACUCGUAAAAAAUGACAUGUCGAGUGAUAUAUACUUGAUUUGUGGAUGGGUGAAGGCAGUAGCCUUUAUGAGACAAAUUGUAACCAAGAAAAAUGCAUUGAGCUUAUCAGGGAAGAGAUUUGUUGGAGAUAUAGGGUCAUAAGAAUGGAUAGCAUAAAUAACCAAAGGUUUUGAAGGACUUGUAAUCUAGUGGUUUCUGAAAAAUGAGUUGAAAAUGAGAUAUAUUAGCAAGAACAUGUAUGGGCAUAGAGUUGAUAAGGUGCAUGGCUAUUUGAAAAGCAUAGGCCCAAAAUUUGUGGGGUAAUGAGGUAGUGUUGAGAAUAGCUAAACCGGUCUCAAUAUGGCAAAUUUUCCUUUCAGCUCUUCCGUUCUGUUCUGAUGUAUAUGGACAAGAAUAACGGUGUUGAAUUCUAGAUCUUGCAAAGUGAGGUGCAAGGGCUUUAAAUUCUCCUUCAUCAUCAUAUUAGAGGCUUUUGAUAGAACAAUUAAACUGAUUUUUUACCAGAGUUUUAAAUUGAAGAAACAUAGAAGACUCCUAAUCUUUAGGGCCCCAUAAAUCCGCGUGGAUCAAUUCAAGUAAAUGGGAGGCUUUGGAUGUAUAUGGUGUAAAUUAUUAAUGGUAUAAAUUAUUAUUAUUAUUAUUAUUAUUAUUAUUAAAAGAGAUCGUUGAGGAGGGGUUGACAAUGGGAAAUUUGUAGAGGCCAUGUUCAAUAGUCCUUGAAGAAGAGUCUUCUUGGUUUUCUUGACCUUGUUAAGAAAGAAGUGAGGAUGGAAUUCAAGAAACGAGUUGUUGUUAGUACAAAAUUUUGAUAUGCUGAUAAGGUGAGGAACCUAAAAUACAUCUUUUAAAUGAAAUAGUUUAUGAGGGAUGUAAAGAUGCUUAGAGCCAACAUGUGAUAUGGAGAGUUUCUUACCUUAGCCAAUAGUGAUCAUAUCCUUGCCUUGAUAAGGUUGUGAAUUGGAGACAUUUUCCUUCUUGUGUGAAAAAUGAUGACUGACACCAAUGUCAAGGAGCCAAGAAUCAUUGAGACUUGGAGUGGAUGAGGCUAUCAUUGCUAGAAUGUACUGGUUGUUGAAAAAAUUUGGAUACAAUGGAGAAAGGAAACACUCUCACACACUCACUUUUGUACAAUAAAACUCUCUUAGAACAAAAUAAGAAGAAGAAGAAGAAGAACCCAAGAAAAGCUCAAACAAGUUCUUGGAACUUUGUCCAAAGACUCUAUUUCCUCCCACCUCUAGAAAUCUUUUUGGGAACUAAAUGGAAAUAGUCUUGGGAUUGAUCAAGCCUUUUCACUUUUCUGCAUGAGAUUUCAAAAAGAAGAAAAGUCAUAUAUAUAGCACUCUUAGGGUUGAAAAAAGGUUACAAGGAUGAGAAAAACUCAUUGUCUUCCUCAAUCUCUUCAUCUUUGUAACAUUCAAAAUUAAAUCAUAUGUUUAAUUCACACAUUAAACAUGAUUUAAUCUCAAAUGUGUAACUCUCUUACACUUAACCUCUUAUGUUUAUAAAGUUACAAAGAUGAGAAGACUCAUUGUCUUCCUCAACCUCUUCAUCUUUGUAACAUUCAAAAUUAAAUCAUAUGUUUAAUUCACACAUUAAACAUGAUUUAAUCUCAAAUGUGUAACUCUCUUACACUUAACCUCUUAGGUUUAUAAAGUUACAAAGAUGAGAAGACUCAUUGUCUUCCUCAACCUUUUCAAGUUUUGUAACAUUUCAAAACUUAAUCAUGUGUUUAAUUCACACAUUAAAAGUGUAACCCUUCUUACACUUUAUUUUCCAAAAGUUAUUUUCAAAAGUGUAACUCUUCUUACNNNNNNNNNNNNNNNNNNNNNNNNNNNNNNNNNNNNNNNNNNNNNNNNNNNNNNNNNNNNNNNNNNNNNNNNNNNNNNNNNNNNNNNNNNNNNNNNNNNNUGGUGAGUUUUAUUUAAGGAGUUUUAGUCCCAUCCCUCUAGAUGUUAUCCUUACUAAAUCUCUUGUAAGAGGUUUAGUAAAAGGAUCCGCCAAGUUUCCACUUGACCUCACAAAUGAGAUUGAGAUGAUUCCAUUUUGAAUCAAUUGUCUUACAUACUCAUGUCUAAUGCUUAUAUGUCUAGACUUCCCAUUGUACACUCCACUAUACGCACGAGCUAGAGUGGCUUGACUGUCACAAUGUAUCGACACUGUUGACACAUUAUUUGCAGUAAAAGGGAUGUCCAUCAUGAGAUCCCUAAGCCACUCAGCUUCUUUUCCAGUUGCAGCUAGAGCUAUAAACUCUGCCUCCAUGGUUGAGUGUGAUAUACAAGUCUGUUUCUUAGAUCCCCAAGAGACAGCCCCACCACCAAGUGUAAACACCCAACCUGUGGUAGAUAAAUUAUCUCCCACACUCGAUAUCCAGCUUGCAUCUGAAUACCCUUCAAUUAUAGCAGGAAACUUUGAAUAUUGGAGGCUUAGUUCUUUGGUAUUCUUUAGGUAACCAAGAACUCUACCAAUAGCUUUCCAAUGUUCCACGCUUGGAUUGCUAGUAAACCUACUUAGUUUACUAACUGCAAAUGAAAUGUCAGCCCUAGUACACUGAGCAGCAUACAUAAGACUUCCAAUUGCACUUGCAUNNNNNNNNNNNNNNNNNNNNNNNNNNNNNNNNNNNNNNNNNNNNNNNNNNNNNNNNNNNNNNNNNNNNNNNNNNNNNNNNNNNNNNNNNNNNNNNNNNNNNNNNNNNNNNNNNNNNNNNNNNNNNNNNNNNNNNNNNNNNNNNNNNNNNNNNNNNNNNNNNNNNNNNNNNNNNNNNNNNNNNNNNNNNNNNNNNNNNNNNNNNNNNNNNNNNNNNNNNNNNNNNNNNNNNNNNNNNNNNNNNNNNNNNNNNNNNNNNNNNNNNNNNNNNNNNNNNNNNNNNNNNNNNNNNNNNNNNNNNNNNNNNNNNNNNNNNNNNNNNNNNNNNNNNNNNNNNNNNNNNNNNNNNNNNNNNNNNNNNNNNNNNNNNNNNNNNNNNNNNNNNNNNNNNNNNNNNNNNNNNNNNNNNNNNNNNNNNNNNNNNNNNNNNNNNNNNNNNNNNNNNNNNNNNNNNNNNNNNNNNNNNNNNNNNNNNNNNNNNNNNNNNNNNNNNNNNNNNNNNNNNNNNNNNNNNNNNNNNNNNNNNNNNNNNNNNNNNNNNNNNNNNNNNNNNNNNNNNNNNNNNNNNNNNNNNNNNNNNNNNNNNNNNNNNNNNNNNNNNNNNNNNNNNNNNNNNNNNNNNNNNNNNNNNNNNNNNNNNNNNNNNNNNNNNNNNNNNNNNNNNNNNNNNNNNNNNNNNNNNNNNNNNNNNNNNNNNNNNNNNNNNNNNNNNNNNNNNNNNNNNNNNNNNNNNNNNNNNNNNNNNNNNNNNNNNNNNNNNNNNNNNNNNNNNNNNNNNNNNNNNNNNNNNNNNNNNNNNNNNNNNNNNNNNNNNNNNNNNNNNNNNNNNNNNNNNNNNNNNNNNNNNNNNNNNNNNNNNNNNNNNNNNNNNNNNNNNNNNNNNNNNNNNNNNNNNNNNNNNNNNNNNNNNNNNNNNNNNNNNNNNNNNNNNNNNNNNNNNNNNNNNNNNNNNNNNNNNNNNNNNNNNNNNNNNNNNNNNNNNNNNNNNNNNNNNNNNNNNNNNNNNNNNNNNNNNNNNNNNNNNNNNNNNNNNNNNNNNNNNNNNNNNNNNNNNNNNNNNNNNNNNNNNNNNNNNNNNNNNNNNNNNNNNNNNNNNNNNNNNNNNNNNNNNNNNNNNNNNNNNNNNNNNNNNNNNNNNNNNNNNNNNNNNNNNNNNNNNNNNNNNNNNNNNNNNNNNNNNNNNNNNNNNNNNNNNNNNNNNNNNNNNNNNNNAUUCAAGAAUGCCGUUUUGACAUCCAUUUGAUGAACAAAUAGAUUAUGAAUUGAUGCCAAAGCAAACAAUAUCCUAAUCGAUGUUGUUCUAGCCACCGGCGCAUAGGUAUCAAAAUAAUCAAUACCUUCUCUUUGUUUAAACCCCUUAGCUACUAAUCUAGCCUUAAAGGUUUGAAUCAUGCCAUCGGUGUGAUAUUUCCUUCGAAAUAUCCACUUGCACCCUAUUGGUUUAGAUCCUGGUGGAAGGUCUACCAAUUCCCAUGUUUGGUUGGACAUAAUUGAAUCCAUUUCAUCAUUGAUAGCCUCUUUCCAAAAAGCAACAUCUCUAGAAGCCAUAGCUUCUUUGUAUGUUUUGGGAUCCUCCUCUAUUUGAAGUACUAUAGGAAUUUUUCUUAUAAUAUCUUCUCUAUUUCCUUCUACUAAGUAGAAGGAAAUUCUUUGAGAGUCAAUCUCAUCCGAUCCCAACACUUUCUCUUUUCUAGCUCUUUGGCUUUUCCGAGGCACAAUGGGUUGCUCAACAACUUUUGAAGGUGUCUCUUCUAGAGACUCUCCAACACUAGUAGGUACUUGAGAAUUGCUAUCACUCAACAAAUUCUCAAAGAACUCUACCUCUCUUGAUUCAAUUAUCAUAUUAGACUCCAAGUCUAAUAGCCUAUAAGCUUUGCUAUUUGAGGCAUAGCCUACAAAUGCACACUUAAUGGCUCUUGGACCCAAUUUUGUUUUAUUUGGAUCCGUUUUCUUGCAAUAAGCAAGACACCCCCACACUUUGAAGUAACCUAUAUUAGGCUUCCUUCCUUUCCAUAACUCAUAUGGAGAUAUCUCAUUUUUCUUCAUAGGAAUUCUAUUCAAAAUAUGGCAAGCAGUAAACAAAGCUUCACCCCACAAAUUGAAAUUCAAUUUAGCAUGCAAUAACAUAGCAUUCACCAUUUCCAAGAAUGUUCUAUUCUUUCUCUCCGCUAUGCCAUUGUGUUGAGGUGUAUAGGGUGCGGUGCACUCAUGUAUUAUGCCAUAUUCUUCACAAAAAGAAUUGAAUUCACUAGAGAAAUAUUCACCACCUCUAUCACUUCUAAGCACCUUAAUAUUUUUUCCUAGUUGAUUUUCAACUUCGGUUUUGUAAACUUUAAAGGCAUUGAAAGUUUCACUUUUGUUUUUCAACAAAAACACAUAGGUAAAUCUAGAACAAUCAUCUAUGAAUGUAAUAAAAUACCUAUUUCCACCUCUUGUUAACAUGCCAUUAAGUUCACAAAGAUCACUAUGUACUAAAUCAAGCAAAUUAGAUGAUCUCUCAACACUAUGAAAAGGCUUUUUAAUCAUCUUUGAUUUAACACAUAUUUCACACUUUUCAAAUUUCUUGGUAUCACAAGCAAUCAAACCACAUUUCACAAUCCUUUUAAUAGUGCUUAAACCAACAUGUGCAAGCCUAUUAUGCCACAAAAUUAAAGAAUUUGAAUCACACAUAUAAGCGGAAGUAGACGUCAUUUUAUUGAUAUUGUCAUUGGUACUAAGUUUGAUCAUCCCAUCACAAGAAUACCCCUUUCCCACAAAGUUCCCCGAUUUGGUUAAAAUUAGCUUACCGGAUUCAAACACCGCUUUGAUACCCGGUUUGCCAAGCAAAUCCCCACUAACCAAAUUUUUAUUCAUAUCGGGGACAUACAAUACAUUUUUAAGGGUAACCUUUUUGCCGGAGGUAAAAACAACUUCAAUAGUGCCCUUGCCAAGCACCUUGGAUUUUCCUUCAUUGCCCAUUUGAACCUCUUGAUCUCCCUUUGCAUCUUCAAAGGUCUUGAAAAGAGAUUUGUCAUAGGUAACAUGAACUGUGGCACAAGUAUCAUACCACCAUCCUUGCACCUUUCCUUGGACAACGCACACAUCGCUUAGUGUUGCAAUGAUCUCCUCAUCAAUUGCAUUCACCACAACCCCUUUUUGGUCCUUUCGGAACCUACACUCCCUAGCAUAAUGCCCGGGUUUUCCACACACAAAACAAGGACCUUUCUUGCCCUUAAAUUGCUCUUGAUUUUUCUUGGGGCUCAUAUAAUUUCCGGAAUUCUUUUUGUUGUUGUUAUUUUUACCUCUAGGAUGAUUGGCCUUUGAAAUCGCAUUGGCUUUGUUAGUCCCACCAUUGGACUCUUCCACCAUUUUGUCUCUUGAUCUCGAUUCUUCCUCAAUGCGAAGAUGUUUUUGAAUCUCUUCCAAGGAGUAAUCUUCACUCUUGUGGAGAAUCCUCUUCCGGUAACCUUUCCAACUUGAUGGUAAUUUAGCCACAAUAGCACCAACUUGGAAGGCCUCCGGAAGUUCAAUUUUGAGAACUUUCAACUUAUUCACAAUUACUUGCAACUCAUGAAUUUGUGGUAAGAGAGGCUUUUCAUCAAAAAAUUUGAAAUCUAUGUAUUGAGAAAUAAGAAACUUUUUGGUACCUUCUUCCUCGGCUUUGUACUUGUUUUCAAGAGCCUCCCAAAUCUCCCUCGCGGAAUUGGUGUUGGUGUAGAGAUCAUAUAGCCUAUCGGAUAAGGCGUUCAAAAUAUGACCCCUACAUAUGAGCUCAUCCUCCUCCCUCUUCUUCCUUGCCGCCACCACUUGAGGUGUGUCAUUUUCCUUUGGUUCCGGUAAUGGUGCCAAGGUAGGAUCAAGGAUGUAGAAAAUCUUGAGUGCUGUGAGAAGAAAUCUCACCUUGUCUUGCCACCUAGUGAAGUUAGAACCAUCAAAACGAUCCAACCUCACAAGGUCUUGGUUCAUAAUCUUGAUAGUCUCUCCCUCCAUUGACUUAGAGUCUUUGAUUGUUGAAAAAAUUUGGAUACAAUGGAGAAAGGAAACACUCUCACACACUCACUUUUGUACAAUAAAACUCUCUUAGAACAAAAUAAGAAGAAGAAGAAGAAGAACCCAAGAAAAGCUCAAACAAGUUCUUGGAACUUUGUCCAAAGACUCUAUUUCCUCCCACCUCUAGAAAUCUUUUUGGGAACUAAAUGGAAAUAGUCUUGGGAUUGAUCAAGCCUUUUCACUUUUCUGCAUGAGAUUUCAAAAAGAAGAAAAGUCAUAUAUAUAGCACUCUUAGGGUUGAAAAAAGGUUACAAGGAUGAGAAAAACUCAUUGUCUUCCUCAAUCUCUUCAUCUUUGUAACAUUCAAAAUUAAAUCAUAUGUUUAAUUCACACAUUAAACAUGAUUUAAUCUCAAAUGUGUAACUCUCUUACACUUAACCUCUUAUGUUUAUAAAGUUACAAAGAUGAGAAGACUCAUUGUCUUCCUCAACCUCUUCAUCUUUGUAACAUUCAAAAUUAAAUCAUAUGUUUAAUUCACACAUUAAACAUGAUUUAAUCUCAAAUGUGUAACUCUCUUACACUUAACCUCUUAGGUUUAUAAAGUUACAAAGAUGAGAAGACUCAUUGUCUUCCUCAACCUUUUCAAGUUUUGUAACAUUUCAAAACUUAAUCAUGUGUUUAAUUCACACAUUAAAAGUGUAACCCUUCUUACACUUUAUUUUCCAAAAGUUAUUUUCAAAAGUGUAACUCUUCUUACACUUUAUUUUUUAACCAACAAUAUAUAUAUAUAUAUUUAUAUAAAUAUAACACUGGUUUGGUGCUGUAAAUGAAGGCUUAGUAGAGUUUGUAGAUAAGUUAUCGAGUCCUUGAAAAUUAAUGUCAAACCUAUGAUAACAGGAGACCACAGUAUGACCAUGUUUGCUACAAAGUUGACAUCGUGGUCUAUCACCAGAAUGUCGUGUAUGAUGACCUUGAUCACGACAUUCUGUAUCUUACAUUAUUGGAUUAACAUAUUUGGCAUUUUUCCCUGAAUAUAUUUUGGACAUGAAACUUCUAUUUAUAUAUUUUCUAAUGCACAUAGAAUCGAGUUUCCCUUCCUGAAUUCAGAAACAAUCUAGGAUAGACGCAGUGCAAAUUUCUAAUUUAGAUUCAAAUCUUUAAAGAAACAAACUUUUUGUUAUGAUCAAAAGUGAAUUAAAUUAUGAUCAAAACUGAACUGGAAAAGUAGAUUCCAUACUCAAAGACGAUUUAUUGGGCUUAUCUAGCCUUUAUUCAGUAUCUUAGUAUCUGUAGAUGCAUCCCAGGAAAAUAUGGCAGAUUGUCUGGCUAUAAUGUGUUUUUAAUUCCCUAAACAAUUUUAUCUUAAUAAGUAGUUAUUGAUGUAAAUUAAAGUUAGAUAUUUUCAAUCUUAUUAUGACAGGCUUUGGAUGCAGGCAGGAGUGAUGCAAACUCAUGACGAGGAAACUCAGAAGUUUUUCAAGCACUCUUCUGUUCUUUGUGUGCUGUCACCUCGUUAUGCCAGCAGUAAGCUUAGCAUUUUCAAGCAACAGGCAUGCUUUAUACCAUGGUCCAGUAAUUUUUGUUCAAUAUUAACACAUCCUAGUCCUUAUAAUGUAUCUCAAAAUCCUGCUCAUUUGAAACUUCUGCAUUUUGUAGCUUUACCCAUUUUUAUUUACUUUCUUUUUCUUUGUAAUUAACUCAAAGCCAAGAGCAUAAAAUAUAUGAUAUCCAAUUAUUUGUCCCAUGAUUUCAGAAGUUAGGGAGGAACAGAUCCAACUCCGGAUCAUGUGAUCAAAGCGACGCUAGGUGAGGAAUUUUGGAUUGAUUGCAUCGGCUGUGUUGGUCUUGGGAGCAUAAGUCCUUAAUCCUUUAAUAUGUUCUUCAAACGUAUUAGCAUACAUUACAUUCUCCAUUUGGGUUUUCUAAAGAAUGUGGUUGUUUCUAUCCAACUUUAUGGGAAAAGGAGGAUUUAUCUUGUGUAGUGACUAAACCAUGUUCUGUUGCUGUGAUGAAAUAAUAUUUGGAAUGGUUGGUGGGUUGGACUAUAUUUAAUGACAACAUAAAUAUAAUAGGAAAAUAUUGUCACCAAUUAUUUUUGGGCCAAUUUUUGGCACCUCCUAAUUUGGAGGAAAAAUGAUUUAAUGACAAUUAUUAUUUUAUUGUCACUAUUUCUAUGUAGAUUUUUUAUAAUACAAACUCCAAGAAAUCAAUAAUAUAUAUUAUUUUUAUAUUUAUGUUUUUGUCAAAUUAGUAACGGAAUAUAUUAGCUAAAUUUUAUAUUUAGAUAAAAUCUUAUUUUUUCUUUUAUAAAUAUUUUUCAAAAAUAAAAAAUAAUCUGAAUACAACUUCUAACAAGAAUAUUCCUUAUAUAAAUUUUGUAAAAAAUUAUCAUAUAAUUAAAUUUCACAUUUAGGAUAACAUUUUUCUAGUUCUACACUUAAUGUAUAUUUAUAAAAUUUAUUUAUUUUUUUAUUCUCUCAAAUAUCCUUUUAAGAUUUAUUGUGGCUAAAAUUAAAGUGAGAAUAUAUAUCAUACUUAUAAUGAGUUAAAAGAUUAAUUUAUAUUUAAAUCAAAGAUAAUCUAUAUGAAGGAUUAAGCAAAAAUUUAUAUUUUAUUCAUAUUGUAUUUUAGUAAAUUUAUUAUGCACUUUAUAUAUAAGAAAUUACUUUUGCUAUGACAUGUGGGGAGGUACUCUAGCUAAGUCAAAUAUUAAAAAAAAAAUGAAAAAUGAAAAAACUUUCUUUUAUUAUAAUAUCUUACCAAAUAGUUUUUUUGUCCUUUUGAGGAAUUUAGCAUAUUAAAACCACGUAAAGAAAACUUUCUUUAAAUAAAUUAUUAUAUUAAGUUAUUUUUUCAAAAUUUUCAAUUAUUUCCUUUCAAAACUUAAUUAUAUUAGAAGGAAUGUAGAAAAUUUUCUUUAUAAAAUUAUUUUAUAGAGAGGUUUUUCUAUAGUUUUAUCUCUUUCUUUUUAAAAGUAGUUUUUCAAUAGUAAAGUUGUUUAAUUUUUUUUUUUUUUAAUCUCCCUCAUAUUUCUUACCUCAUAGUUCAAGGUAGUACAUAUGUUUUCUUUGAAUUAUUACGUUGAAGGAACAAUAAGGUAUUUAAAUUAAUUUACUUUAAUUUUUUUUCUUAUGAUGCAAAAUUUUAUAUUUGUUAUUUUUUUAAAUAAUGUUAAUCAUUUUUUUAGAUUAGAUAGUUUUGAGUUUUUAGGUUUUAACAUUUUUAAAUAUAUGAAUCAAUAGCAAUAAAUCUUAAUUACACUUUCUUUUAAAAAAAUUAAUAUUAUGAUACAUUAAAAUUAAUCUUUCACUUCAAAUAUUUUAAUUUUGUGUAAUUAUGAAUAAAUAUUAUGUGACAUUCUUUAUAAUGGUAAUUUGAUUAUGCAAGUGAAAAUUCAUCAAUUAUAACAUUAUAUUUUUUUUUUCAAUUGUAAUUUAAACUAUUCAACAUAGUGAUGCUUAUAUAUAAACAAUUAGUUAAGGAGAUUGUAUGAGUUGAUUAUGAAAAUGUAUAUUUUUUAAUUAUUCUCAAUGGUGAAAUUUUAUAUUCCCAUUCAUCUAUAACAAGUUUCUUAAACAAUUACUUUAGUUUAAUUUGUUAAUUAUUGGGACAAUUGUGUUUUGGACCUAGUUGGACCCAAAAUUAAGCUUUCGUUCAUAUAAGUUCACUAUUUAAGUCCAAAACCUAGAGGAAGUAGGAAAAUUGAGAAUAAGGAUAUUAAGUUUUUAUCUUUCCAAAAAUAAUCUGUAUUGACUAUGAAAAGAAAAAGAGUAGAAAAACAUUAAUUUAAAUUUUAUUCCUUUUGCAAACCACAAAAAAAUUUAAUAUAAUUUAGUGAUUUGAAAAAAAAAAUACACCAUUUUCCAAAAAAAUAAAAAUAAAUUAUUAUUAUUUAAAAAUCAAACAUCUUGGAAAAUGUAUAUUUUUAAAAUUGUGUAUAUAAAAAAUAACUACAAAUAUGUCACAUUUAUUUUUUAAAAUGAUAAAUUUUUAUAAUAUAUUUUUAAAAAAAAAUAGUUUUCUAAAACUAAUAAAUUUUCAGAAUAAUUAUUAAAUAAAAUUAAGAUAAAAAAUUUUCUGAAAUAUUAUGGUAGAAAAUAGUUUUGAAGGGUAUAUUGGUCUUUUCAAAUUUUUUAUCUUUCCCAUCAAUUAUGCAACUUUUAUGGAUCAAAUCUUAAUUUUUGAGCCCAACUGGGUCCAAAAGACAAUUAUCCCUUAAUUAUUUUCAUAAACAUAAAAAUUAUCCUUUUAUGGUAUUUAAGAUUUUUUUCCAUACAAAAAAAAUCUUUUACUUCAAAUUUAUCCUUGUUUAGAAAUUAAUUUUAGUUUCAAAGUUAACUAUAAUUUCUAUUUGUGGGAUUGAUUUUCUUCAAAAAAAAAAAAUUUUCUAUCCAAUAUUUAAGAUUUUUUUUCCAUCUGAAAAUUUUGUUUUACUUAAAAUUUGUCUUUGUUUAGAAAUUAAUUUUAAUUUCCAAGUUAAUUGUAAUUUCUAUAUGUGGCAUUGAUUUUCAUCUAAAAAUUAAUUUUUUUUCUAUCUUAUAUUCUUUUCUUAUAAGAAUGUUAUCCUUGUCAUUAUAAGUUUAUUAUAAUAAGAAAUAUUUUGUGAAAUAGUAGCUCCAUGGUCUAUUUAUGGGAGCCAUUUUCUUGAAUUUUUAUACUUGUUAAGUUUGGGAAAAAAACUAGAAAAAAAAAUCUCCUACUCUCUUGCUGUGAAAAAAUGGCCAAGUUGAAGAGAUGUGGGUCAUUUGUCCUCAUAAUGGUCCUCAUGUUGUGCUUUGGUCUGUUCUAUCUAUACUAUUUAGAUUUAUAAUUUAAGUUCUAUGUAUUAUAUAUAUUCAUGGUUCUUUAGUUAUAAUUUUAGGUUUUUCAUAUUUUUAUUGCUUGAAAAUUAUGCAACCAUAUUAUUAUUUAAUGUAAUCAAAUAUGUUUUAACAAAUCAAUUUGAACAUUAGGAUAACUCAUUUAUCAAAUAUGAUUGCUGACUACUUGUUGUAAAUCAUUUAUGUACAUGUUUCAUAUCUAGGAAUUAAUUGAGAUAUAUAAUUUUAAGAUACUAUAUAUGUUAUUUUUACUAUUUUCAAAAACUUUUUUUGAAAAAUAUCAUAAGAAAUAUAAAAAUGUACUUGGUCUUAACAAUAAAUCUAUAGCAAAUAGAUAAGUAAAUUGAUAUUUUAAAACACGCUUUAACACAUUCUCGUGGUUUGCUAUUUGGUUUCAAUUACCAAGGAAGUGGUUAGCCAAGGAAAAUGUUGCAACAAUCACCCCAAACUCGGAGGUUGUGUUCCUGGCAAAGAUGAUGAUCCAGAGGGUGGUGGAAAAUGUUGGACAUUUUGCAUCUCUGAUUGUACCAAGGGAGGCUUUUGCAAGAAAUUAUCUAAUGGUCAUGUUUGUCAUUGUUAUUGUUGAUGACAUGCUUUGUCAUUAAAUACUAUAAAUAAUCUCUUAAUAUUAAUAAUAAUAUGAAUAAUAUCCCUCAAAUGAUGCAAAAUUUGGGAAAUAUAUCCUCUCUCCUCGUAAUAAGAGACAUUUUUAAGAAAGUACUUAAAGCUUUAUUUUAUCUUUGUUAAUGCUGGUGUCAUGCUUUAUCUUUCAAUAAUAUGAAUAAUAUAUCUUCAUGGUGCCAACCAAAUUUAUGAAUCAUAACUAUCAUAUUUUUAAUGUUAUGGACAUAAGGGUGUAAUGUUUCUUAUGCAUACUACUUACAAUAACAAUAAUAAUAUCUUAUUAUUUUGAAAAAUCUAUGUCAUUGAAGUUUUAAAUUUUGAUAUUUAAUUAACAUUUAUGCAUUGUUUACACAAAAGCAAGAAGAAGUUAUAUGGUAUCAUUUCUUUCACCUUGAAGAUCUUCUUAUUUUGCAAAUUAUAUUAUUUUAAAAGCUUUAAUGUAGAUGGUUAAUUCAAAUCUAAUUAUUGUUUUAUAAGAAAGAAAGAAAUCAACAUCUUGUUUGUGCAAUAUAUAUAAGAUUUUUUUUGUUAAGAAUUACAUAUCAUACCAUAACCUCAACCUAAGGAUCACAUCAUCCCUAAAACGUAAGUGAAAAUAUAUGGGAAUUGUAUCUUAAGAAUUAUAUAUCAUAUCAUAAUUUGUGGGUCACACCAUCACUAGUUCUACACUUAAUGUGUAUUUCUAAAAUUUACUUUGAUUUUUUUUUAUUCUCUCAAAUUUCCUUUUAAGAUUUAUUGUGACUAAAAUUAAAGUAAGAAUAUAUAUCUUAUUUAUAAUGAGUUAAAAGAUUAAUUUAUAUUUAAAUCAAUGAUAAUCUAUACAAAGGAUUAAGCAAAAAAUUAUAUUUUAUUCAUAUUAUGUUUUAUUAUUUUAUUAUGCACUUUAUAUAUAAAAAGAAAUUACUUUUGCUAUGACAUGUGGGGAGGUACUCGGGCUAAGUCAAAUAUUAAGAAAAUGAAAAUUUGAAAAAACUUUCUUUUAUUAUAAUAUCUUACCAAAUAGUUUUUUUGUCCUCUUGAGAAAUUUAGCAUAUUAAAACCAAGUAAAGAAAACUUUCUUUAAAUAAAUUAUUAUAUUAAGUGAUUUUGUAAAAAAAUUCAGUUAUUUCCAUUCAAAACUUUAGUUAUAUUAGACGGAAUGUAGAAAAACUUUCUUUAUACAAUUAUUUUAUGAAGAGAUUUUUCUAUAGUUUUAUCUUUUUCCUUUUAAAAGUAGUUUUUCAAUAGCAAAGUUGUUUAAUUUAUUUCUUUUUUUUUUUUAUCUCCCUUGCAUCUCUUACCUCAUAGUUCAAGGUACCUAGUACAUAGGUUUUCUUUGAAAUAUUACAUUGAAAGAACAAUAAGGUAUUUAAAUUAGUUUACUUUCACUUUUUUUUUUCUUAUGAUGAAAAAAUUUAUAUUUGUUAUUUUAAAAAUAAUAAUAAUUUUAAUCACUUUUUAGAUUUGAUAAUUUUUAAUUUUUAAUUUUUAACCUUUUUAAAUAUAUGAAUCAAUAGAAAUAAAUCUUAAUUACACUUUCUUUUUUUUAAAAAAAUAAAUAAAUAUUAUGAUACAUUCAAAUUAAUCUUUCACUUCAAAUAUUUUAAUUUUAUAUAACUAUGAAUAAAAAUUAUAUAUGACAUUUUUUGUAAUAGUAAUUUGAUUAUUUUUUAUUUGUUUUCUUGCGGGUUAGAGAUAUGUGAUACUAAGCAAGUGAAAAGUUUAUCAAUUAUGACAUUACAUUCUUUUUCCGGUUGUAAUCCCCAUAAACUAUUCAACAUAGUAAUGCUUAUAUAUAAACAAUUACUUAAGGAGAUUAUAUGAGUUGAUUAUGAAAAUGUAUAUGUUUUAAUUAUUCUUAAUGGUGAAAUUUUAUGUUCUCGUUCAUCUCUAACAAGUUUCUUAAACAAUUAGGUUUAAUUUUUUAAUUAUUUUCAUAAACAUAAAAAUUAUCUUUUUAUGGUAUUUAAGAUUCUUUUCCAUACAAAAAAUUUCUUUUACUUUAAAUUUAUCCUUGUUUAGAAAUUAAUUUUAAUUUCAAAGUUAAUUGUAAUCUCUAUAUGUGGGAUUGAUUUUCUUCUAAAAGUUUUUUUAUUUUUUUCCUUUCUGAUAUUCUUUUCUUAUUAGAAUGUUAUCCUUCUCAUUAUAAGUUCAUUAUUAUAGGAAAUAUUUUGUGAAAUAGUAGCUCCAUAGUCUAUUUAUAAGAGCGAUGUUCUUGAAUUUUUAUACUUCUUAAGUUUGGGAAAAAAACAAGAAAAAAAUCUUCUACACUCUUACUGUGAAGAAAUGGCCAAGUUGAAGAGAUGUGGGUCAUUUGUCCUCAUAAUGGUCAUCAUGUUGUGCUUUGGUUUGUUCUAUCUAUACUAUUUAUAUUUAUAAUUUAAGUUCUAUGUAUUAUAUAUAUUCAUGGUUCUUUAGUUAUAAUUUUAGGUUUUUCAUAUUUUUAUUGCUUGAAAAUUAUGCAACCAUAUUAUUAUUUAAUGUAAUCAAAUAUGUUUUAACAAAUCAAUUUGAACAUUAGGAUAACUCAUUUAUCAAAUAUGAUUGCUGGCUACUUUUUGUAAAUCAUUUAUGUACAUGUUUCAUAUCUAGGAAUUAAUUGAGAUAUAUAAUUUUAAGAUACUAUAUAUGUUAUUUUUACUAUUUUCAAAAACUUUUUUUGAAAAAUAUCAUAAGAAAUAUAAAAAUGUACUUGAUCUUAACAAUAAAUCUAUAGCACAUAGACAUAAUAGAUUAAGUAAAUUGAUAUUUUAAAACACGUUUUAACACAUUCUCGUGGUUUGCUAUUUGGUUUCAGUCACCAAGGAAGUGGUUAGCCAAGGAAAAUGUUGCAACAAUCACCCCAAACUCGGAGGUUGUGUUCCUGGCAAAGAUGAUGAUCCAGAGAGUGGUGGAAAAUGUUGGACAUUUUGCAUCUCUGAUUGUACUAAGGGAGGUUUUUGCAAGAAAUUAUCUAAUGGUCAUGUUUGUCAUUGUUAUUGUUGAUGACAUGUUUUGUCAUUAAAUAAUAUCAAUAAUCUCUUCAUAUUAAUAAUAAUAUGAAUAAUAUCCCUCAAAUGAUGCAAAAUUUGGGAAAUAUAUCUCUCCUUGUAAUAAGAGAGUCAUUUUUAAGAAGAUGCUUAAAGCUUUCUUUUAUCUUUGUUAAUGUUGAUGUCAUGCUUUAUCUUUCAAUAAUAUGGAUAAUAUAUCUUCAUGGUGCUAACCAAAUUUAUGAAUCAUAACUAUCAUAUUUUUAAUGUUAUGGACAUAAGGGUGUAAUGUUUCUUGUGCAUACUACUUACAAUAACGAUAAUAAUAAGAUCUUAUUAUUUUGAAAAAUCUAUUUCACUAAAGUUUUUAAUCUUGAUAUUUAAUUAACAUUUAUGCAUUGUUUACACAAAAACAAGAAGAGGACAUAAGGGAUCAUACCAUUUGUAUCAUUUCUUUCACCUUGAAGAUCUUUUUUUGCAAAUUAUAUUAUUUUAAAAGCUUUAAUAUAGAUGGUUAAUUCAAAUCUAAUUAGUGUUUUAUCAUAAAGAAAUAAAUAAACAUCUUGUUUGUGCAAUAUACAUAAGAUUUUUUUUGUUAAGAAUUAUAGAUCAUACCAUAACCUUAACCUAAGGAUCACAUCAUCCCUAAAACAUAAGUGAACAUAUAUGGGAAUUGUAUCUUAAGAAUUAUAUAUCAUACCAUAAUUUGUGGGUCACACCAUCACUAAAAUAUAGGUGACACAAUAGCUAAAUCUUAAUAAGUAAUAGAUGACUUCAACUAAAAUAUAAACUAUUAAUAACAAUCUAUAUUAUUAUUCUCUAUAAUUUAAAGUGUUUUGGUAAAACAUAUUAUUUUCUACACUUAAAACUAAAUAUAAACAUCACUAAUAUGGAUAACUAAAUAGCAUAUAAUUUAUAGUGUAAUAUAAUUUAAUGAAAAAAUUGGUCAUUACUUAAUGCAUAAAAAAUCAAUAAAGUUUUUAAAUUUUCAAAAUGAAAAGUGAAGUGCAUUGACCAUUAAGAAAAAAUGAAAUGCAAAAUACCAAAUCUUGAAUUUUAUAAAAUAAAUUAAAUCCAUAAAAGAAAACAAAAAAAUUAAAUUAAGUUAAUAGUUAGACGAGGAAAAAAUGAAGACAGAAUAAUGAAAAAGGAAAAAAAAAAAUAUAAUAACAAAUACAAAUGUGUUUAUAUCUAUAGAAUAACUAGUGGAGGGUAAUUAAAUAGGCUACCCAAUUUAUAUGCGCAAAAUCUAAAUUCUAAAUUUCAUAAUUUUUCAAUUCAUUAUUUUAGUGUGAUUAGAAUCCACAAUUAUAAAAGUUUUAUAACUAUCAAAUUUUACUUUAUGAAUUAGCAUGGACUUAAUUUGUCCAACAUUUAUGGUAACAAAAUAUAAAACAAAUCAUAAUAAUUAGGACACAAGACAUACAUUGGAAACCACUUGCAAAAAUCCUUAUAAGUAUAAGACCAAGGCUCAGUCAAUUAUAGAGCAAAUAUACUAAAUAUGAAAAGCAAAUACAUGUGCACAUUUACUUUGUCUUAAACAAAACCUUCUCCCAAGAGACAUACACUAGCCAACACCUACACUUCGCUUUUAAGUUUGCCACACAACACUCACGCUUCUUAGUGGAAACCUUAAGAACAUAAGGAGAUUAGACAAACCCACCAAUGUGUUUCCAUUGAAAGAGCUUUCAAGUUUCCAACUCAAUUUUUUUUUUCCAAUAUAGUUUAAGAAUAAUGGGGAAGAAAUGGAAAAAUAAUAUAUAUAUAUAUAUAUUAAUGUGUUGUUUUUCCUCUUAUGAGGGUUAUGAAUGAAAGUUUUUUUUUUUUUUUUUUUUAUGAAAACAAAACAAUACUUAUAACAUAAUGCAAAGCCUAUUAAAAUUGCAAAGUGAUCACCAAUACGAAAAUUAGAUUUCAAACUCUCUUAAAUUUUUUUAGACUCCUUUUAAAAUUAAAUUUAAUUAUUAUUUUUUUCAUUAUAAAGUUAAAUCCACCACUUCAAAAAAAUUUCCAAAAGAUUACCAUGAAUCUACCAAGCUCUCAAAAAGAGUUACAAAUCUCACACUAUACUAACUUUUUAGUGCAACAAUACCUUUUUUCUAUUUACACAUUUAACAUAAAUAGAAUACAACUAAAAAAGUCCAAAAAAAUCUUCCUAAAAUCUAACAAUUUCAAGAAAAUAAUAAUCAGAUAUAAAAACUAUGAACAAAAUAGCCUUUAAGAAAUAAUAUAAGUUUUUUCUUAAAAUAAUAAUAAUAAUAAUUCUUGCAAUUUAUUAAAUGAAUGGGAAAAUAUAUUCAAUAAAGGCAAACUAACUUGCAACAAAUUUAUUGAAUCUAUUUCUCUUUAUAUGCCAUAAAAAUGAACACAAGUAAAACAAAGAGGAUAUAAAAAAAAAAGUAAAAAGUUGAAAACGAGAAUGAAAACAAAAAUUACCACUGAGCAUUUAAAUGUCUCUUGAAAGAGCACUUAAUGCAAUGUGGAAAGUACUUAAGCAUUUACAACCCUUGAUGGGGUUCUUGAAGUGACUCAUAUAGUGUUGGGAUACUCUUCCCUCAAUUUCUCAUUCUCAUUCGUCAUUUGAGCACCCUCAUAACUGUUGGGAAUACCGGGAUAUCUCCAUUCCCAUCCUUAUACCAUUAGGGUGCAUGUAAAAUUUGCCAUAGGGCUCUUUAAAUCUAUAAACAAUAGAAUUAAUAACAUAUAAAAACUUUGAUUUGGAGAUGAGGUGACCAUACAUAUUAUCCAGUUGUUCUCAAACAAAUUAAAUUAAAAGAAGAAGCAUCGAAGGUGUCAUAGAUCACAAAAACCAAAGGUCCUCCCCCUGGUUUCUCUUUUUCCUAGAUCUUGAUAUGCAAAGUGAUCGAAUCCUCUCUUGAGAAAGUGGAGGCUAGGGUUGCUUUCUAGGGUUUGAAGAAUAGCAAGAAUAUAAAAAGAAGUCACAAACCCCUAAGGGGGUUUAUAUAAGCUUUUGUAUGGGCUUAAGUGACUUGACCCCAACUUAAGGUUGGGUCACUUAGUCAAGCUUAGUGGAUUAUAAUUAAUUAAUUAGUUUUUUGGGCUCCAAUUAAUUAAUUAGCCUAUUCCACAUUCAUCAAUCAUAAGUUGUUAUGCAACCUUACAUUUCUAUAAAACCCUUAUGUACACAUAUGAACUAGGAAACUAAAUAUAUAAAAGUGACAUCAAUGAAUAUGAGUUUGAGCAGGACCAUUGAAAAUCUAUAGGAAAAUACUGAUUCCCUCAAAAUCCUAUUUUUAAGCUAACUUAACAUCCUACUAGAGAGAGUUGACUAAUAUCCAAUAAUAUUAGAAUGAGAUAUAUACUGAAGUCAAUGACUUACUAUCUAUUGCAUGCAAAUUCUUUAUGAAUUUUUUAAGCUAACUUAACAUCUUACUAGAGAGAGUGGACUACACUCUAGUAUCCUAUAAUAUCAUAAUGAGAUAUAAACUAAAGUCAAUGACUUACUACUAGACCAAGUUCACACUUAGUAAUAUAUCUUGACAAUAAAUUUGUUAAAGUUCAUUAUUAAAAAAUUAAUUAAUUAAUUAAUUUCCAUUAUUUACUUUAAAUUUUAUUUAAUUAAUUAAUAAAUGUAUAAAAACCAUCAUUAUAAUUUUCUUAAAAAAUAUUUUUUAAUAUCAUUUAUAUGAUAAUUAAACUUUUAAAAAAAUAUUAAAAAAUUAUAUAUGCAUCAUAGUUUAUUUUACAUUAUUGAAUACAUUUGAAUUAAAUAAAUUAUAAUUUUAAUAUUAAAUGUAUCAUCAUUUAUCUCAUUAAUCCUAUUUUAACAAUUAUCACUUCACUUUUAAAUUUUUUAUAUUUAUCCUUUUAAUUUUAUUUAAUUUUGAAUGUUUUUAUUUUAAAAUAUUAAAAAUAUAAAUUUAUUCAAAAAAUACUAAAAUAUAAAAAAAAAAAUAAUGGAGUCCUAAUAUUUUAUAAAUUAAAAUUAAUUUGAUUAAAUUAAUAAAUUUCUAAGAUUGAUUUAUCCUUAUUUACCGAUAAUUUUUCUCUUUAGUCAUAUCUAUAUCAAUUAUAUUUAGAAAAUAAUUUUAACAUGUGUAUUUUUAUUUAUUUUAUCAUUUUGUUUUUUGGAGUUUUUCUAAAUAUUUUCAUGAAUUUUUAAUAAUUUUUGUCUUACCAAUAUCUUUAUCAAAAUAUCCAUCGAUAUUUCCGAUAUAUUCGUAAAAUUCAAGUAUUGAUAAAUCCAUAUUUAUCGAUAUUUCAAACUAUGCUUACUAUCCAUUAUAUACAAACUCCCUAUGAAUUGGUGUCUAUAAUUUAACUAGGUAUAUACUAUCAACAUCUUCAAAUUACCUCUUCAAUCCUUAAGUUUCAAGCUUUCCUAUUAUAUGAUCAACUAACAUAUUUUAUUUCUCAAUAAGCAUAUGUCAAAUUUUAAGGAAUUACUAUGAACAUAGUUUUUCGAAACAUAUUUCCUUAUAAUCACCCAAGUAGACACAUUAUCUCAAAUUUAUAAAAUAUCAUGUUGCCUAUCUUGAGUUUCCACGCUACUAAAAAGGCAAAUCUAUGUAUAAAGUAAGUUGAUCAUAACUUGAAAUCUUCAACUUAGUAGUGAGGUUGGUUAUAGCUUUAGUUUACUUAGACUCUCUUAAGUUACUAGGAUGUCAAUGUGCUGGCUAAACCCCCAUCUUAUGGUGCAAGAUUGUUCAAAUGUAUUUUUUAUCUUCAUUUUACACCCCAUUUGGCGCAAGUUGGAGUAAUCCCACCUAUUUAAAUUUUUAAAUUUUUUAUUAUAAUAAAAUAAUUAUAAAUCAAUCAGUAAAUGAAUAGUUCAUAAAUUCUUUUUUAUUUUUAUGAGAAAUAAAACUUAUAUUUCUAUUGUAUAGAUGUUUAAAAAAAAAGUUAAAAUAAUUUCAUAGAUACUCCAUCUGUCUCUAAAGAAAAUCUUUCAAAGUUGUCUUAAAUUGGUUUAUAUCAAAUAUUGAUAAACCUAUUUUAUAUGUUUUUAAAUAUUUUUAAAAAUAACUUCUAUUAUAGUUUUUGUUUUCUAUUAUUCUCCAUAUUUAUAUAAUUUUCAAGCAUACCCUUGAUAUCCCUAGUUCGACUAAAGGUUGUAAAUUCACGUAGGAACAAAAUGAAUUCUUCACAUGGAAGAAGAUNNNNNNNNNNNNNNNNNNNNNNNNNNNNNNNNNNNNNNNNNNNNNNNNNNNNNNNNNNNNNNNNNNNNNNNNNNNNNNNNNNNNNNNNNNNNNNNNNNNNNNNNNNNNNNNNNNNNNNNNNNNNNNNNNNNNNNNNNNNNNNNNNNNNNNNNNNNNNNNNNNNNNNNNNNNNNNNNNNNNNNNNNNNNNNNNNNNNNNNNNNNNNNNNNNNNNNNNNNNNNNNNNNNNNNNNNNNNNNNNNNNNNNNNNNNNNNNNNNNNNNNNNNNNNNNNNNNNNNNNNNNNNNNNNNNNNNNNNNNNNNNNNNNNNNNNNNNNNNNNNNNNNNNNNNNNNNNNNNNNNNNNNNNNNNNNNNNNNNNNNNNNNNNNNNNNNNNNNNNNNNNNNNNNNNNNNNNNNNNNNNNNNNNNNNNNUAUAUCUUGUUUAUUUUUUAUUUAUAGAAAAUGCUUCAAAAUAUUUUAUUUAUAAGGAAAUGAUUUUUAUUUACUUUGUUUUAGAAAAAAGAAUUAUUUUCACAAAUUUCAUUUACAAAAAAAUAUUUCGAUUCAAUUUUCAUUUAAAAAAUAAUAAUAUUUUUACAAAUUUUUAUUACAAUAUUCAAAUCUAAUUUUGUGUACAAGAGAAUAUUUUUACUAAUUAUUUAGAAAAAUGAUUUUCAUAAAUUCAUUUACAAAAUUAAAAAAAAAGAUAUUUCAAUCCAACUUUUAUUUAAAAAUGAGUUUUACAAUUAUUUAUUCAUUUUUUUUAUAAAAAAAAAUUAUUUACAAAAUAAGAGGUAUUCAAAUCCAAAUUUAUUAAAAUAAAAAACAAAAAGGGUUUUUUUAAUUGAAAACAAGAUUUAUCAUUUUUAUUAAAAAUAUUAAAAUUCAAUCCAGUUUGUUUAUAAGAAAAUAAUUUUUACUGGUUUUUUUUUUUUUUUUUACAAUUUUAUUUAAAAAAUGUUUUGCAAUUUUAUUUUAUUUUUUAAGUUUUGCUGUUUUAUUAAACAAAUGCUUUUAAGGUUUUAUUAUUAAAAAAAAAGCCAUUAUUUUUUUUACAAAAAAAAAUGAUUUUACAAUUGUAUUUAGGAAAAAAAAAGUUUUUAUAGUUUUUAUUAAAAAAAUAUUUUUGUAUUUUUCACUUAAAAAUUGAUUUUAAAUUUUUUAUUUAAAAGAAUUGAUUUUAUUUCAUCUUUUAUUUAAAAAGGGGGCAUUGCAAUUUUAUUUAAUUUUUUUUCAGUUUUAUUAAAAAAAAUGUUUUUUUUCAAUUUUAUUUAUAAAAAUGAUUUUCAUAGUUUAUUUUUUUCAAAGAAAAAAAAAUAUUUUUUGUAGGUUUAUCUCAAAAAGGAUUUUCAGUAUUUUUUAUAAAUAAAAAAAAUCAGAUUUUAUUGUAUUUAGUAUUUACAAACUUAAUGACCAAAAAAAAAAAGAAUAGGUUGAAUUGAAAAUAAAAUAAAAAUAUAUUGGAAUAUAUAUAAAUGAACAUAAAAUAAAAUAAAAAAGAAACUGUAGACCCCCUCAGCUAGGGGCAUGGGCGGGUUUUUAUUUUUAUUCUUUUUUUUUUUCUGCUUCUUUUCUGCUUUCUUUAUCCACCCGAGGACGGCUGGAAGUAAAAGGGGGGAGAAGGAGCUAUCCUUAGGUGGCUGUAGGGAUCAGGGAACAGAGGGGCAGGUGCUAGAUUUCCGGAUCUGGGGGAAAAAGAAAGGAGAGGGCGUUCCAGAGAGGGGGUGGCUGAGGAGAAGCGGGAAACCCAUUUCACCAUUUUUUUUCUGAUUCCAGGUAUGACUUCAAUCCGCUUUGCGCUUCCCGUUAUGAACUGUUCUUUUCUGUUUCUCAUUGUUCAUGGUUCAUGACGCUUGAAGACUACAUGCAUUUCUCUGUUCUGGAACGCUUCAAAUAAAGAUCCAUUGCUGCUCUUGUUUUUUUUUAAAUAAAUCUUCACAGCCUCACCUUUCUCUCAUUUUUCUCUCGUUUUCUCUCCGCCCAAACAUCCUUUCCCGUGGUUCUUUUCUUUUUUUUUUAUUUCUUUUAUUUCUUUCUUUUUCUUUCCUUCUCUCUCCGUCUCCAUGGAAAGCCACUCACCUGCUCAAACACUUCUACCAACACUAGUAUAAAGCCGACUGCUAAAAAUGGCAAGGCUCCAGCAGCUUUGGGACCUUGCCCUCCAGACCAAAUGCCUUCCAUUAGACGUUGCUGAACCUGUGGUUUGCAAGCUGGAAGACGAUCCAAACUUCAAGGCCGACAAAAGUUCGGUGCCGACCACCAAUGGCGCGGUGGAGAUGGAUGCAUUCAUCGAGAUGGAGACACGCAGAAGCAUAGGGGCUGCUGUAGGCAAGACCGUCGUCGCCAGAGCAACCCACAAGCGCGCCAUUAUCGACGGUGGGAGCACAUGCAGCGGCGGGCGCGUGGUUAAGCCGAAGGGUCCUUACGGUUGCACCUAGCUGGUGCACUCACUUGCAAAGAAACCAGCUGUCAUGAUGGCCUAGAGAUUGCUAGAUCUCUAUACGUUGCUUGAAUGCAAUGUUGGUGAGGAAAUGUGGCAAUGCCUGCAUGGGGGACCCCUGCAAUGGCUAGUGGGCUUGAUGACUUAGGUGUUUUUGUUAGUGGCUUUGGGCUUGUGAUGAAGCCCAAGCCCAAGCAGGGAGAUAAAAAAAAAAUAAUGAGGAAAAGAAGACCUCACUGAUUUAUUCCAAUUUAAAAUUGGUCCAUUGGCUUGCUUCCACUUUAUACGAAUCACUUUCUUUAAAGCACUAAUUUCUUAAUAAACUUUCUAACUCCCAAUUUCCAAGCCCAAUUUAUAAAAAUUCAACCUACAAAUAAUACUUCAAAAUUCCGAUCAUUAAAAUUCAAUUCCAAUUUCCGAAAAUUCUCAUACUCACUUUAAUCUAUUUAAUUAUUAUUAUUUUAUGUAUCUAUUCUAAAAUUCCAUUUUAAACAAUUCUUUAAAAUUUUCGACUUUCAAAUUUAAUUUCUAACUCCAAAAUUCCAAUAUUCACAUUAAUCUAUUUAAUUAUUAUUAUUUUGAUUAUUUAUUUCAAAACUCUAUUUUAAAUCAAAUUCUCUAGAACUUCUGAUUUCCAAAUUAAAUUUCUAAUCCCAAAAAUUCUCAUCUUCCCAUUAAAUUAUUUGAUCAUUAGUAUUUUAUUUAUUUAUUUAUUUCAAAACUCCAUUUUAAACCAAAUUCUUUAAAACCGCUGAUUUUCGAAUUUAAUUAAAUUCCUAACCCCAAAAAUUCUCGUAUUCCCACUAAAUUAUUUGAUCAUUAGUAUUUUAUUUAUUUAUUUAUUUCAAAAACUUCGUUUUAAAUCAAAUUCUUUAAAACCGCUUAUUUUCGAAUUAAAUUCCUAAACCCGAAAAUUCUCAUAUUCCCAUUAAUUUAUUUAAUCAUUAGUAUUUUAUUUAUUUAUUUCAAAACUCCAUUUUAAAUCAAAUUCUCUAAAAUUUUUGAUUUUCGAAUUAAAUUCCUAAUCUCAAAAAUUCCCAUAUUCCCAUUAAUUUAUUUAAUCAUUAGUAUUUUAUUUAUUUAUUUAUUUAUUUCGAAACUCCAUUUUAAAUCAAAUUCUUCAAAACUUCUGAUUUUUGAAUUAAAUUCCUAAUCCCAAAAAUUAUCAUAUUCUCAUUGAAUUUAUUUAAUCAAUAGUAUUUNNNNNNNNNNNNNNNNNNNNNNNNNNNNNNNNNNNNNNNNNNNNNNNNNNNNNNNNNNNNNNNNNNNNNNNNNNNNNNNNNNNNNNNNNNNNNNNNNNNNNNNNNNNNNNNNNNNNNNNNNNNNNNNNNNNNNNNNNNNNNNNNNNNNNNNNNNNNNNNNNNNNNNNNNNNNNNNNNNNNNNNNNNNNNNNNNNNNNNNNNNNNNNNNNNNNNNNNNNNNNNNNNNNNNNNNNNNNNNNNNNNNNNNNNNNNNNNNNNNNNNNNNNNNNNNNNNNNNNNNNNNNNNNNNNNNNNNNNNNNNNNNNNNNNNNNNNNNNNNNNNNNNNNNNNNNNNNNNNNNNNNNNNNNNNNNNNNNNNNNNNNNNNNNNNNNNNNNNNNNNNNNNNNNNNNNNNNNNNNNNNNNNNNNNNNNNNNNNNNNNNNNNNNNNNNNNNNNNNNNNNNNNNNNNNNNNNNNNNNNNNNNNNNNNNNNNNNNNNNNNNNNNNNNNNNNNNNNNNNNNNNNNNNNNNNNNNNNNNNNNNNNNNNNNNNNNNNNNNNNNNNNNNNNNNNNNNNNNNNNNNNNNNNNNNNNNNNNNNNNNNNNNNNNNNNNNNNNNNNNNNNNNNNNNNNNNNNNNNNNNNNNNNNNNNNNNNNNNNNNNNNNNNNNNNNNNNNNNNNNNNNNNNNNNNNNNNNNNNNNNNNNNNNNNNNNNNNNNNNNNNNNNNNNNNNNNNNNNNNNNNNNNNNNNNNNNNNNNNNNNNNNNNNNNNNNNNNNNNNNNNNUAAAAUUUUUGAUUUUCGAAUUAAAUUCCUAAUCUCAAAAAUUCCCAUAUUCCCAUUAAUUUAUUUAAUCAUUAGUAUUUUAUUUAUUUAUUUAUUUAUUUCGAAACUCCAUUUUAAAUCAAAUUCUUCAAAACUUCUGAUUUUUGAAUUAAAUUCCUAAUCCCAAAAAUUAUCAUAUUCUCAUUAAUUUAUUUAAUCAAUAGUAUUUUAUCUCCAUUUUAAAUCAAUUCUUUAAAACUUUAGAUUUACAAAUUAAAUUUCUAAUCCUGAAAAUUCCCUUAUUCACAUUAAUUUAAUCACUAAUAGUUUGUUUAUUUAUCUUAAAAUCCUAUUUUAAACAAUUCUUUAAAAUUUCUGACUUCUAAAUCUAAUUUCCAAUUUAAAAAAUUCCAGCAUUCCCAUUCAUUUAUUUAAUCAUUAUUUUUGUCCUUAUUAUUAUUAUUCCAUUUAUUUAUUUCAAAAUUCCAUUUUUAAACAUUUUUUUGAAUCCCAAUUUCCGAACUUAAUUUUCGAUUUCUAAAAUUCUAAUUUCUUUCAAGUUUGACAUCCUAAAAUUCCAACUCUUAAAUUUAAUUCUCAAAACUCCAAUCUUCAAAUAAUUUUCGAGACUCCAAUUUCCAAAUUAAUCUCAAAAACCCAGUUUUUCUCUCGAACAGUUUUAAUUCCACUUCGAUUUUUAAAUAAUGUUCUAUUUCUUUUGAUUUUUACACAAGCAAGAAUGAUGAAUCUUCAUGAUUCCGAAAUAAUGGGAUUCGUGAGAUUAAUUCAGGCAGGAUCAAUUGGGUUUUGGUGGGACCCAACAUAUGUGAUUUUCUCAUUGAUUGCUUGAUUCCAUACUUGAUUAGCUUGUCUCACUCUAUGAUCUGCAUGCGAUUAUUUUGUAUUUGUGCACUGACCUUGUCUCUUAUGAUAGUGCUCAGCUUGCAACUAAGGUACGUCACGUACCCCGAUUGUGUUUAUUGAUCAUCAUGCAUGUCUCGCUUUCACACAUUUGAUCAUUGUUUGGUAUCCAUGCUCAAUUAAAUCAAUUAUCACGUCAGUUUCAUUUUAUUAGUAGAAACCCGACUUUAGGGACUUAGAGGGGUGCUAUGGUCUUUACCGUACCUUCCCAAUAAGUAACCUAACUCCCGAGUCCGAUCCGGUUUUUCGUAGAUCACCUUUUCCAAAAUAAGGAGUCGCGCUUAGGGUUUUCUUUCUUAUUUUGUUUACCUUUUUAAAAAUAAAACAAAAUUUCUUAAUUAAUAAAAAUCAAAUUUUCAAAUAAAAAUCGAGCUUGCCUUCGAGUGGGAAACGCAUUGAGCCGAAAUGCAGAGUCCACAGAAACGCUAAUUUAAAUCAAUUUAAUGAAUCAAUUAAUGCAAAUCUUUCAACCCUAGCAAUAAAAUAAUCAAAGCAUAUACAAAUCACAAACCAGUAUACUAAAAAAAAAAUGAAUAGAACCCAUAGAAGCAAGCCCAGGAUUAAAUAAUAAUAGAUCAAAACAAUAAUGUAGGCCUAAAAAAAUAUCCAACAGUCCAAAGCCCAAAUGAAAAUCUUAUAAACUAAAGCCCAACAACAAAACCUAAAUAUCAAAAAACACAGCCUGAGGCCCAAAUGGAAUAAACUAACAUGAUGUCCAAUAACUCAAGCCCAAAAGCAGAGCUGAGCCCAAUCAAAUAUUAGAAUUAAAAUAACAAAGGCCAAAGGCCCAAAUGAAUGUAAUAAAGCUCAAUUAAUCCUAGGCCACAUAAAAUAAAUCAAAUUCAAAGCCCACAAAUAGCCCAUAAUCCACAAACACUGUGUUGUAGAGAUUUUAGAAAAACUUACCCAUGUCUUUCUGAUGAAACCUUGGGAUGAAAGGAUGAUGGUGGUCAUCCUAAAAUUCAUAUUAAAAAGAGAAAGGAAAAAAGAAAAUUUCUUGUUUGGUUACUUUAGGAAAAUAAAAAAGAAGAAUGAUUAAAUUAACCUAUAUCUGCAUCAAAAUGUUCUUAGUGGACACAAUUAUUAUUGUGGCCAUGACAAUAAUCAUUAUAAUUUAUUAUUACUAAUAUUAUUUUUUUAGUAGCAACUAUUGAAACCACAACUUAUGGUUUUUAUAAAUAAAAAAUAAAAGACAAUUGUAAUACAAACUCAAAGAAAUCAAUAAUAUAUAUUAUAUUUAUAUUUAUGUUUUUGUUAAAGAGAAUAUAUCAACUAAAUUUUAUAUUUAGAUAAAAUCUUAUCUUUUUUUAUAAAUAUUUUUUAAAAAUAAAAAAAUAAUUUGAAUACAACUUCAAACAAGAAUAUUCCUUAUAUAAAUUUUGUAAAAAAUUAUCAUAUAAUUAAAUUUCUCAUUUAGGAUAAUAUUUUUCUAGUUCUACACUUAAUGUAUAUUUCUAAAAUUUAAUUUGAUUUUUUUUUAUUCUCUCAAAUUUCCUUUUAAGAUUUAUUGUGACUAAAAUUAAAGUAAGAAUAUAUAUCUUAUUUAUAAUGAGUUAAAAGAUUAAUUUAUAUUUAAAUCAAUGAUAAUCUAUAUUUUAUUCAUAUUAUGUUUUAGUAUAUUUAUUAUGCACUUUACAUAUAAGAAGAAAUUACUUUUGCUAUGACAUGUGGGGAGGUGCUCUGGCUAAGUUAAAUAUUAAGAAAAUGAAAAUUUGAAAAACUUUCUUUUAGUAUAAUAUCUUACCAAAUAAUUUUUUGUCCUCUUGAGAAAUUUAGCAUAUUAAAAUCAAGUAAAGAAAACUUUCUUUAAAUAAAUUAUUAUAUUAAGUGAUUUUGUAAAAAAGUUCAAUUAUUUCCAUUCAAAACUUUAGUUAUAUUAGAGGGUAUGUAGAAAAACUUUCUUUAUACAAUUAUUUUAUAAAGAGAUUUUUCUAUAGUUUUAUCUCUUUCCUUUUAAAAGUAGUUUUUCAAUAGCAAAGUUGUUUAAUUUGUUUUAUUUUUUUUUUAUCUCCCUUGCAUCUCUUACCGUAGUACAUAUGUUUUCUUUGAAAUAUUACAUUGAAAGAACAAUAAGGUAUUUAAAUUAGUUUACUUUCACUUUUUUUUUCUUAUGAUGCAAAAUUUUAUAUUUCUUAUUUUAAAAAAAAAUAAUAAUUUUAAUCACUUUUUAGAUUUGAUAAUUUUGAAUUUUUAGUUUUUAACCUUUUCAAUAUAUGAAUCAAUAGAAAUAAAUCUUAAUUACACUUUCUUUUUUUUAAAAAAAAAUAUUAUGAUACAUUAAAAUUUAUCUUUCACUUCAAAUAUUUUAAUUCUAUAUAACUAUGAAUAAAAAUUAUAUAUGGCAUUUUUUGUAAUAGUAAUUUGAUUAUUUUUUUAUUUGUUUUCUUGCUGGUUAGAGACAUGUGAUACUAAGUAAGUGAAAAGUUCAUCAAUUAUGACAUUAUAUUCUUUUUCCAAUUGUAAUCCCCGUAAACUAUUCAACAUAGUAAUGCUUAUAUAUAAACAAUUAUUUAAGGAGAUUGUAUGAGUUGAUUAUGAAAAUGUAUAUGUUUUAAUUAUUCUUAAUGAUGAAAUUUUAUAUUCUCGUUCAUCUCUAACAAGUUUCUUAAACAAUUAGGUUUAAUUUUCUAAUUAUUUUCAUAAACAUAAAAAUUAUCUUUUUAUGGUAUUUAAGAUUCUUUUCCAUACAAAAAAAUUCUUUUACUUCAAAUUUAUCCUUGUUUUAGAAAUUAAUUUUAAUUUCAAAGUUAAUUGUAAUUUCUAUAUGUGGGAUUGAUUUUCAUCUAAAAGUCUUCUUAUUUUUUUUCCUUUCUGAUGUUCUUUUCUUAUUAGAAUGUUCUCCUUCUCAUUAUAAGUUUAUUAUUAUAGGAAAUAUUUUGUAAAAUAGUAGCUCCAUAGUCUAUUUAUAAGAGCCAUGUUCUUGAAUUUUUAUACUUCUUAAGUUUGGGGAAAAACAAGAAAAAAAAUCUUCUACUCUCUUGCUGUGAAGAAAUGGCCAAGUUGAAGAUAUGUGGGUCAUUUGUCCUCAUAAUGGUCAUCAUGUUGUGCUUUGGUUUGUUCUAUCUAUACUAUUUAUAUUUAUAAUUUAAGUUCUAUGUAUUAUAUAUAUUCAUGGUUCUUUAGUUAUAAUUUUAGGUUUUUAAUAUUUUUAUUGCUUGAAAAUUAUGCAACCAUAUUAUUAUUUAAUGUAAUCAAAUAUGUUUUAACAAAUCCAUUUGAACAUUAGGAUAACUCAUUUAUCAAAUAUGAUUGCUAGCUACUUUUUGUAAAUCGUUUAUGUACAUGUUUCAUAUCUAGGAAUUAAUUGAGAUAUAUAAUUUUAAGAUACUAUAUAUGUUAUUUCUACUAUUUUCAAAAACUUUUUGCGAAAAAUAUUAAAACAAAUAUACCAAUGUACUUGGUUUUAACAAUAAACCUAUAAGACAUAGACAUAAUAGAUUAAGUAAAUUGAUAUUUUAAAGCACACAUUAACAUAUUCUUGUGGUUUGCUAUUUGGUUUCAGUCACCAAGGAAGUGGUUAGCCAAGGAAAAUGUUGCAACAAUCACCCUAAACUCGGAGGUUGUGUUCCUGGCAAAGAUGAUGAUCCAGAUGGUGGAAAAUGUUGGACAUUUUGUAUCUCUGAUUGUACUAAGGGAGGCGUUUGCAAGAAAUUAUCUAAUGGUCAUGUUUGUCAUUGUUAUUGUUGAUGACAUGCUUUGUCAUUAAAUAAUAUCAAUAAUCUCUUAAUAUUAAUAAUAAUAUGAAUAAUAUCUCUCAAAUGAUGCAAAAUUUGGGAAAUAUAUCAUCUCUUCUUGUAAUAAGAGUCAUUUUUAAGAAGAUACUUAAAGUUUUCUUUUAUGUUUGUUAAUGUUGAUGUCAUGCUUUAUCUUUCAAUAAUAUGGAUAAUAUAUUUUCAUGGUGCUUACCAAAUUUAUGAAUCAUAACUAUCAUAUUUUUAAUGUUAUGGACAUAUUUUUAAUGUUAUGGACAUAAGGGUGUAAUGUUUCUUGUGCAUACUACUUGCAAUAACGAUAAUAAUAAGAUCUUAUUAUUUUGAAAAAUCUAUUUCACUAAAGUUUUUAAUCUUGAUAUUUGAUUAACAUUUAUGCAUUUUUUUUACACAAAAGCAAGAAGAGGUUAUAUGGGAUCAUACCAUUUGUAUCAUUUCUUUCACGAUCUUAUUUUGCAAAUUAUAUUAUUUUAAAAGCUUUAAUAUAGAUGGUUAAUUCAAAUCUAAUUAUGGUUUUAUAAGAAAUAAAUAAAUAAACAUCUUGUUUGCACCAUAAUUUGUGGGUCACACCAUCACUAAAAUGUAGGUGACACGAUAGCUAAAUCUUAAUAACUAAUAUAUGACUUCAACUAAAAUAUAAACUAUUAAUAACAAUCUAUAUUAUUAUUCUCUAUAAUUUAAAGUGUUUUAGUAAAACAUAUUAUUUUCUACACUUAAAACUAAAUAUAAAUAUCACUAAUAUGGAUAACUAAAUAGCAUAUAAUUUAUAGUGUAAUACAAUUUAAUGAAAAAAUUUGUCAUUACUUAAUGCAUAAAAAAUCUAUAAAAUUUUUAAAAUUUCAAAAUGAAAAGUGAAGUGCAUUGACCAUUAAGAAAAAAUGAAAUGCAAAAUACCAAAUCUUGAAUUUUAUAAAAUAAAUUAAAUCCAUAAAAAAGAACAAAAAAAAAAAUUAAAUUAAGUUAAUAGUUAGAUGAGGAAAAAUUGAAGAAGAUAGAGUAUAUGAGAAAGGGAAAAAAAAUAAAUAUAAUGACAAAUACAAAUGUGUUGAUAUCUAUAGAAUAACUAGUGGAGGGUAAUUAAAUAGGUUGCCCAAUUUAUAUGCUCAAAAUCUAAAUUCUAAAUUUCAUAAUUUUUCAAUUCAUUGUUUUAGUGUGAUUAGAAUCCACAAUUAUAAAAGUUUUAUAACUACCAAAUUUUACUUUAUGAAUAAGUAUGGACUUAAUUUGUCCAACAUUUAUGGUAAAAAAUAUAAAACAAAUCACAAUAAUUAGGACACAAGACAUACAUUGGAAACCACUUACAAAAAUCCCGCUCAAUUAAUUAUAGAGCAAAUCUACUAAAUAUAUAAAGCAAGUACAUGUCCACAUUUACUUGUCUUAAACAAAACCUUCUCCCAAGAGACAUACACUAGCCAACACUUAGAUCUGAGUCUUAAAAAUGUCUUUACUAAAUAAGUAAAGGAACUAUGAUAAUUAAUUAGUUAAUUUUGAAUACUAAGAAAAAGAAUGACAUGAAAUAAGACCUAAUGAUAAAAACAUAUUACAAUAAUAUAUCAAAAAAAUGAUAAGGGAAUUGAAUAAAUUGAUUUAUGAAACUAAUUAAAAACAUGGGUUUAAUUAUUUCUUAAAUAAAAUAUAUUUUUAAAACAAUUAAAAAGGUUUAUUUACAUUAAAAAAAAAAAAGCUAUUCCAAUUUAUUUUAUUAACAAAAGAAAGUUUUUAAAAAUAUAUCUUGCUUAUUUUUUAUUUACAGAAAAUGCUUAAAAUAUUUUAUUUAUAAGGAAAUAAUUUUUAUUUAUUUUGUUUUAGAAAAAGAAUGAUUUUCACAAAUUUCAUUUACAAAAGAAUAUUUCAAUUCAAUUUUCAUUUAAAAAAUGAUAUUUUUACAAAUUUUUAUUACAAUAUUCAAAUCUAAUUUUAUGUACAAGAGAUUAUUUUUACUAAUUAUUUAGAAAAAUGAUUUUCAUAAAUUAUUUUACAAAAUAAAUAAAUAAAUAAAAGAUAUUUCAAUCCAAUUUUUAUUUAAAAAUGAGUUUUACUAUUAUUUAUUCUUUUUUUUUUAAAAAAAAAAAGUUAUUUAAAAAAUAAGAGGUAUUCAAAUCCAAAUUUAUUUAGAAUCCAAAUUUAUUAAAGGGUUUUUUUUUAAUUGAAAACAAGAUUUUUAUAAUUUUUAUUAAUAAAAAUAUUAAAAUUCAAUCCAGUUUGUUUAUAAGAAAAUAAUUUUUAGUAGGACAGAUGGUUUUUUUUUAAAUUUUAUUUAAAAAAAGGUUUUUCAAUUGUAUUUUAUUUUUUAAGUUUUACUAUUUUAUUAAACAAAUGCUUUGAAGGUUUUAUUAUUAAAAAAAGCCAUUAUUUUUUUACAAAAAAAUGAUUUUAGAAUUGUAUUUAGAAAAAAAAAAAAAGUUGUUAUAGUUUUUAUUAAAAAAUAUUUUUUUAUUUUUCAUUUAAAAAUUGAUUUUAAAUUUUUUUAUUUAAAAUAAUUGAUUUUAUUUCAUCUUUUUUUAAAAAAGGGGGCAUUGCAAUUUUAUUUAAAUUUUUUUUUUCAGUUUUAUUAAAAAAAAAGUUUUUUUUUUCAAUUUUAUUUAUAAAACUGAUUUUUAUAGUUUUAAUUUUUUCAAAAAAAAAGAAAAAAGAAGAUUUUUUAUAGGUUUAUCUCAAAAAGGAUUUUCAGUAUUUUUUACAAAAAAAAAAAAAAUUCAGAUUUUAUUGUAUUUAGUAUUUACAAACUUAAUGACCAAAAAAAAAAGAAUAGGUUGAAUUGAAAAUAAAAUGAAAAUAUAUUGGAAUCUCUAUAAAUGAACAUAAAUUUUUUUUUAAAAAAAACACACUAAUUUAAAUCGAUUUAAUGAAUCCAUUAAUGCAAAUCUUUCAACCCUAGUAAUAAAAUAAUCAAAGCAUAUACGAAUCACAAACCAGUAUACUAAAGAAAAAUGAAUAGAACCCAUAGAAGAAAGCCCAGAAUUAAAUAAUAAUAGCUCAAAACAAUAAUGUAGGCCUAAAAAAAAUCCAACAAUCCAAAGCCCAAAGGAAAAUCUUAUAAACUGAAGCCCAACAACAAAACCUAAAUAUCAAUAAGCCUAAAAAAAAAAAAAAAAAAAAAAAAGCCUGAGGCCCAAAUGGAAUAAAACUAACAUGAUAUCCAACAACUCAAGCCCAAAAGCAGAGCUGAGCCCAAUCAAAUAUUAGAAUUAAAAUAACAAAGGACAAAGGCCCAAAUGACUGUAAUAAAGCUCAAUUAAUCCAAGGCCACAUAAAAUAAAUCAAAUUCAAAGCCCACAAAUAGCCCACAAUCCACAAACACCGUGUUGUAGAGAUUUUAGAAAAACUUACCCUUGUCUUUCUGAUGAAGCCUUGGGAUGAAAGGAUGAUGGUGGUCAUCCUAAAAUUCAUAUUAAAAAGAGAAAGGAAAAAGAAAAUUUCUUGUUUGGUUACUUUAGGAAAAUAAAAAAGAAGAAUGAUUAAAUUAACCUAUAUGGCUAUAUCUGCAUCAAGUGUGCAGGAAAUUUUCCCCCACUUAAUUGUAGUUCAUCAAACCCUAUAGAUGGGGACAUAAUGUAACCAUGGCUAUACAUUAUUUUUAAUUACAAUUUAAAUCAAAUUGGAAAUUAACUAGAUACAUGUAUAUAUGUGUGACCAAUUGAGUCUUUGACUUACCAGCUAAGCUUUUCCCUUGGAUUGCUUGAGAUUCUGCAUUUAGAUAUCAAUCAAACUUAGGGUAAAGGCAAUAGAUUGUGCAAUUUUCUGCAUUAAAGUUGUUUAAACAAAAGUUUUAAUCUUUCAAAAGCAAUAAAAGGAUCAAAUUGACUUACAAAAUACUAAAAAACAAGCCUUAAUAAAAAUGUACUUGAACAAAAAGAGUUUUAGAUUUCACGCUUGUGGACUUAAAUCUUGCUUCUCUCAAUCAUAAGACAACUAAAAAUUUUAAAAUAUAUACCAUGAUCAACUCAAGAGAAAGGUUUUCCACAAUUUUAUGGUUAACGGAGGUGAAGUAAUUGGAGAAUAUUUGGUUUAAAAUAUGAAAAAAGGGAGAGCUUUAACUUUUACAUACAAGAAUAAGAGCACUCCCUGAAAUAGUCUCAAACUUUUGUUUACCUUGAGAUGAAUCUUCUAGAUAUGAGGAUAAGAGCACUGCCUAAAAUAAUCUCAAACUUUUGUUUACCUUGAGAGGAAUAGUUGGAAAAUUAUUUCAAAUUCCUACUUAAAAUGUACUUCUUAUUGUAAAAGGAAUAUUAUAUAAAAUAUUUCCUUAACUUUAUAUGUGUUUUUAAUUAGAUUCUUUGUAGAAUAAGGAAAACUAGUGAAAAUAUCUCAAUAAAUAUUUUAGAUCAUGAAUGGAAAAAGUUAUCAAAGAGACAUGGUAUACAGAUGUGAGGAAAAGUGAAGGACACUUGAUGGAACUAAAGAACUCAUUAAGGUGUAGAUAUAUGAAAGAGGAAGAAACACCAAAUAGGGCAAGAAGAUUAUUGGUUUAAGGUCGAGAUACAAAGAGACCCAAUAGUUAUAUUUAUUUUUGUAUUUUUUUUCCUUUAAUAUUCUCUAUCAUAUAAUGGAAUGUUCUCUCACAUCCAUUGAUACAGAUAUGAUUGAUUAAACCACGUUAAAACCUUAUGUUUUGUGUGAUUUGUUUUACCUUUAUCUUUCUUUUUUCUAUAAUACAUUUGUAUUAACGUUUCGUUGACACAACAAAAAUAAACAUGAUAAAGAAAUUCUACCCCCAUAUAAAUUAGAAAGAGAAAGGAAGGCGAAAUGAUACCAGUAAAAGAGAUUGGUUUUGGGUUUCUCCGAAUCAUUUUUUAUGGUGUGGCUCCACCCAGGGGCUCUGGUCUAUUGGGUUUCUCUGAAUCAACGUACAUCAUUGGUGGAUGGUUGUGGUCAGUGCCUGGUGCGUUGUCACAAGCAUUGGUAUCUUGACCGCCCAAAUCCCCACAAGAAGAACCGUUCCUUGUACCAUGGUGAGAUGAUUCUAUCCAUAAUCCUCCUGGGCAUAUAUAAAGUGGAAUCCACACCGCUCCACUUUCACUGGUUCAGUACCAAAGUAUUCACUAAAUGAAGUGUUCAAGGUUCUAUACUCAUUUGAGUGGUAUUUUUUCGGAAUUUUUGACUUUGGAUAAUAUAUCAACCACACUUGAUUUGAUUCAUCUCCAUGAAGGCAGCGUUCACAAUUGCGUUUAGACCAGAAAUCAUCCACCAACAAAAAUGCACGGUUGUUGAAAUUCAAUUUACAUUUGAAACUCCUGUUUUCUUCUUCGAUAUCAAGUGGAACAUGAAGAGAGCACAAAGCAAAGCCCAAGAAGUCAUCGUUUUCGUACCAAUACCGAGGAAGUCUCAUUGUUAUUUUGGACCCGUUUUUCUGGUGGCUUAUCCACCCUGGAAUUCCAUUACUUCCAGGAAUAAACAUUUGGACUUUAAAAUUAACUUCGAACUCCUGCACAGAAAGUAGAGUAUAAAUCUUCUGUCUCUAUAAAAACAGAAGGUCAAAUGCUAUUUAUGAAAAUCAUACCUGAAUCCUGGAUUUAAAACAUUUGAAUAAAGAAGACCAGAGUAGAGUUGAGGGACUUGAUAAAAUUUCCAGUGAUGAGCAUUGAUGGGCAUCUAGAUAUUCUAAACUUGAUGGAAGCUCUGGAAUAUGUUGAAGCAUCUGGCAAUGACUCAAGUCGAAAACAAUCAAGUUAUAAAGUUGGUUGAUCCCGUCUGGUAUGCUACUGAACCGGUUCCCUCUGAGGCUUAAAUGUUGCAGUGACGAUAGGUGCCAAAUACCACUGGGGAUUUCCCUUAGACCGCAGUUGAUCAGUUGUAAUGUUAUCAAGGAGCACAAACCCGACAAAGACGGCAAUUGACAAUUCAUUGAAUCCAAAUCUUUAACAUAAAGGUAUUCUAGAGAUUGCAAUCUCCCCAAGUUCUCUGGCAAUUUGUUGAGUUUUGGACAGGAAACGACAAUGAGAGUUCUUAAAGAUGUCAGAUUACAAAUACUUUCCGGAAGAUUCACAAGGUUUUCGCAAUAUGCCAGAUUCAAAUAUUGAAGCCCUCUUAGACGCUGAAUUGAUGAGGGUAUCUCUUUUAUGGCAGUUCCAUCUAAAUCAAGCUUUUGAAAGACUACCAUAUCUUCCAGGAUUUCAGGAAAGCUCUCUAGUUGUGAACAGCCAGAGCAAGAGAGAGUUGUAAGGGAUUUGAACUCACAAAUACUGCUUGGCAGACUCUUGAGGGUUUUACAAUCCCGCAAACAUAAACCAUCAAGCUCCGAGGGAUUCUCUAUAAUGGGUAGCUCCUUCAUGUCACUGUCCUUAAAACAACCACGCCAUCGGCAUGUCGCCUCUUGCUGGCAUUCACUGCACCUUCUAACAUCUGCAUGCGCAUCCUGAGUCUGUGUCGUCGGUGGAAGGUCUUGGGAGUAUAUAAGGCGGACUUUACACUCCUCCACUUUAAAGGCUUUCUUAAAAGUAUUGUAAAAGCCCUCAAAUAAAGGUACAAUGUAAGGCCAUUGAUCAGAGGGAUACCACUCCUGAAUGGCUGCCUUGGAAUACCAAAUCACCCACGUUUGACGUGAUACGCUGUCAUUAUCUUGGUCAUAGCAAAAACAACUAGAUUCAUAUAGGGGAAGAUCCACCAAUGUAAUGUUAUCACCACAGAUUUUCAAAGAACAUUUCAGACGACAAGAGGGCGUAAAUACAUACUCCGACAAUUCAGCCACAGAAUCAUUCUUAGAUUUAUCAUCUAUUUCAUUCUCCGAGGUGUGAGCAGAUUCAUCCUCAGAUCUAUUGUCUGAUUCAUUCUCGGAUACGUCCUCAGAUUCAUCAUCAAGUGGAACAUAAACACAGCACAAAGCAAAUCCCAAAAACUCAUUAUUUUGGUUCCAAUUCUGAGGAAGCUCUGUCGCUAUACCCUGAUCAUCCAUUAUCCACUCUGGAACUCCACUACUUCCAGGAAGAACAAUACAAAUUCCCUUGCUGCCGUAGGUAGAAACACUAUUCUCGGACCAUACUUCAUUCCGACUACUGCAAUUCAAAUCCUGCACAAAAGCACCAUGUAAAUCAAAUGUGCAUAAAAAAAAGUAAAGUCAGUGACAUGAAAAUCAUAGAUACCUGAAUUUCCGAAUUGAAGCAAUUGACCAGAGAAUGAACUGGCAAAAAUGAGGCUCUUGAUGAAGUAGGAUUUGAACCAUGCGCAUCUAAAAGCCUUAGACUCGAUGGAAGCUCUGGAAUGUGUUGAAGAUUCUGGCAGUGACUUAAGUUAAGGACUUGCAGCCUAGAAAGUUGAUUGAUGGUAGCAGGAAUGCUUCUAAAAUCAUUCGAUUUCAGAUUUAGUUCUUUCAGUGAUGAUAAAUGACAAAUAUCACUGGGAAUUCCUCCUUCCAUUAUAUUGCAGUGACUUAGAUCCAAUACUUCCAAUGAUGAUAGGCAACAAAUAUCAAUAGGGAUUUUGUUGAGUUUUGAACUCAUUCUAAAACUGAGAAUUUCAAGAGCUUUUAGAUGUUCAAACAAUGAUGAUGGUAGCACUUUUAUAGCUGUUCCACUUAAA
RNAcentral lists this long non-coding RNA (50305 nucleotides) under Vitis vinifera (wine grape). Its description in RNAcentral is "long non-coding RNA (VVIN_LNC006202)". Lineage: Eukaryota; Viridiplantae; Streptophyta; Magnoliopsida; Vitales; Vitaceae. The record is from RNAcentral.